Molecule: long non-coding RNA, 66417 nt
Filed under: Gossypium barbadense (sea-island cotton)
Lineage: Eukaryota; Viridiplantae; Streptophyta; Magnoliopsida; Malvales; Malvaceae
Description: long non-coding RNA (GBAR_LNC012873)
Source: RNAcentral
UUACAAGUAAUUUAAAACCCUUUUUUUUUCCUUUUUUUUUUUCAAAUGCAGCCAGUUUUUUAAUAAAGGGGGGGGGGGGGAGCUAUUAACCCACUCUGCUAGGGUUUCAUUUAGCUCAUAGUCGUCGAACCACCUUCAUGCUUGGUGGCUGACGGCGCACGAAUAGCGACCGGAUCUUGUCGCUGGAGGCCACAACUAUAGAGAUCUAGUAAGUUUUCUCUUUCUCUUUUUCUUAUUUUAGAAAAAAAGGCUUCAAAUCCUACACUAUUCUUUAAAAAAAACAAGCAAAAUUCAAAGAAUGAAAAAGAACUUAACAUCGUUCGACCCUCGUCCACAUCUCCCUGCUUUUGAGAUAUUUGGACUCUCAUCGACGUCCAUUCAGGUAUUAUUUUCUCAUUUUUUUAUUCUAAAAUCGCAAAACAAAUCAAAGGAAACAAAAAUAAAUAGAUAAACAGAUUUUGAAAUCACCUUUUAAUUUCUUGUUCCCUUUUUUUUAGUAUUUCAAUCUCUGUGUGUAAAAAAACAUUGUCUUGGUUUCGGGUUUUUAUAUCCGAAAAAUAAUACAUCUUAAUUUUUCAUUUUCUUUGCGCGUUCCUUCUGUUCUGUCUUCAUUUUCCUUUUGUUCUGCUGGCUUUCUUCUUUUUGUGUGUUUGCAGGUCUAUGGAGGAGGUCAACGGGGCAGAGGCUUCCUUUUUGGUGCAAAGGACGGGUAGAGCCGUCCCUCGAGCGAUGUUUGCACUGAGAACGCACAUGGCUGGCAGAAGGAAGGCGCGGCGCUAGGGUUUCGGUUGGCUGAACUUGGUUUAGGCAUCGGUCCUAUCGGGCUUAGGUCUUUCUUUUAAUUUUGGGCCUAUUAGGUUGUAAUUUUGGCUGAGUUUAAUUGGGUUUGAUGUUUGGGUUGAUGUAAUGGGUUUGGAUUGGCCUUUUAAUGGGCUUAUUAUUUGGUUUAUUUAUGGCUUAGUCGGCCGGGCAAAAUUUGGGUUGUACACAUGUUAUUAAUUGAAUUGUUGUAUAUAUAUGACUUGUAUUAUAAGUUUUGAUAUGUAAGUGGACUAACCUAUUGGUUGUAUUUGUUGAUAUGCAUAUGAUACUACAAAGUAUACCAAUGGAUGCCAUAUUGAAUGCCAAUGUGUUUAAAUGUUUAGUUUAUUGUAAUGUCAAGGUAAGCUAAGUAAAUUUCAUAUAAGCUUAUUAAGCAUUAAAUAUGCUUACCCCCGUUAUUUUCCCUUUCCUUGUAGUUGGUCAACUUGCGAAACAUGUCAAACGGAUCAAUGAGAAUCUCACACUAUCUCAUUAUUUAUUCAGUAGUUUUUCAAUCAUUUGAAAGUCCGAUUUUGUGGCAUAUUCAUAGGUGUUUGUAUAUGUUAACUUGAAAUGAUAGUUUUAGUUUGAAACUUUAUUAACGUUUAAUUUUGGUAAGGUUAAUGCUUAUUUGUAUAUAUAUGUUUUGGUGAUAUGUUGAGAUAUGUUGUGGCAAAUUGAAAUGGCAUAAAUGGGAUAUAAUUUGAUAUAGGUAAUGGUUUGGCAUUUUUCAAAUGGUUUAGUUUGAAUGUCAUGGUAUUGGAAUGAUAUGUUUAAUGGUUGAAUAGGUUGUAUAAUUUGAUGCAGAAAUGAUUGAGAUUAUUGUACAUGUUUUGGUAUGUAUUGGAAGUGUUUUGGUGCAGGUGAGGUUAACCAAUUAUGCACAAAAUGAAAGGAUUGUGUGGUAAUCAUGAAAUAGGUACCAAAUGGCUUAAAUUUUACCAAACAUAGAGUCUACGUCCCGACGAGCAAUCUUCCCCGUCACAACGUCGACUGACAAUGAGUCAUGUCGCGAUGUCGAGUGGCUUAAGGUCACGACAUGAAAAACUAUUUGGUGAAGUCACGAUGUGGAAGAAGUGAUGUCAGACGUCAACCCUGGAAUUUUGAAACUUUAUAGUUUGGUCCUAUUUCAUGCUCGGGUCAACAAAAGAGCUUUCUUAAGUUCAAUCAAGGCUCGAAUUUAAUUGUGUAUCACAAUAUGAAUAUAUUUAUGACAUGAUUGUAUGUUUGAAUAAUUUAUUUACAGUGUAUUUGACGGUAGUUGUUUCGGCAAUAGAUGUAACAUCUUAUAGCUUGGACCCAACGAUCGGGUCAGGCAAGAGGUGUUAUAAUAAAUCCAUAAACGGAUUCAUGAUCUAUUCUUCUUGGGUCCAGUCUGAUGUCCUAUCAGUCCAAUCAAUUACAUCUAUGUCUCUAUCUUCUGGGAGUCAUCCGCUCCGAUGCCCAAGACAAGAUAUUUCCCCAAUUGGACUUGAUAGAUGACAUAUUAGUCUUUUAAUCAGUUUGCUCAUUUUCGAUUAGACUAAAGACAUGUUUAGGUCCAUCUACUAAUAUAAGUUGUCUUUUCGUAUUACGAUCCGACCACGUAAUAUCACUUCGUAUUAGUUUAAAUAUUAGACAACCAGUGAGUCAAUAUUUGCUUUUAUUUUGCUUUGAAUGCAAAAAUCACAUGAGGACAUUAUACAAAGUAUAUUAAUGUAAUUCAUGAAUUAUUUUAUUAACCAAUUUAUUCGAAAAAAUUACAAGUAUUCAUAGACGAAAAUACUACAUUUAGGGCAUCAAAUCUAACAUGUUACACUAUCAGCAAAUGAUCUUCAGCUAUGUUUUAUUCUAUCCUUAAUGAUGUUGGUCAAAUUUGGAGAGGAAGAGGAGAAAGGAUCGGUUUUCAUCCUCUCAUACCUUAUAUCUUUUUACUUGGAGACCAAGAUGGUUGUUUCACUUGGAUAUGAAAUAAGUUAUGGUAUAAUUAUUGAAGAUAUUUCAAGAGAUAAGUUCAGUCUUUUACUAAGAGUUUUAAGCUUAAUGUAAAUGUGCUUAAAACAUCUAGUGUUAGCCUAUAAAAGGUUGUUGGUUGUCACACAUGUUGGUGUACUAGUGGGUGUGCUUUUGGUUAGUUAUUUGUGUGUGCUUUACUUGGUGUUUUUUUCACUAUUGUAUUAGGAAUUUUUUUGGAGAAUUAUUUUGAUUUGUAAAUGAGAUUUUGGGUGAAUGAAUUGUAAUAAUCGGGAUCAUUGUUGGAGCUAUAAUUACUUCCUGUGCAAGGAUAACUUGGGCUUAAGCUAAUAGGGUAGUUUGUGCAAUGAUAGUUUGGACUUAAGCCAAUAAGUGAAGCUCCGUAAAGUACGAUUAUAUAUUCAAAUUGCAUUCAUAAACAUCAUGUGUUGACUUCUCUCUUUGCUUUACCCUCCAUUUAUAAAUUACUCUUUAGCAUAAUUCUUAACUUAUUAAUAUCGUAUAAUUUUUUGUGCAAAUAUUAUAUAAAAUUUAAAAUAUUAAAUAUUUAUAUAUUAAAUAUAUUAUAUGUCGAUAGAGUUUUAAUUAGAUUAACAUGAAUAUUAUUAUAAAUAUAAAAAAAUGGUAGCUUUGAAUACUUUAAAAUAUAUUAUUCUUUCAUUUAUGAAUUGAAGAAAGAUUUAUCAUAUUUUAAAAAAUUUAUUUUUUAUAUAAUGCAUAAAAUUAAGAAUUACCCAUAAUCAUGUAGAGGCAUAGACGAUAAACUUUGUUCGGUGCACUGACAUGAAUGCGAAUCCCUAAUUUUUCUUAUUUUGGUUCUUAGAGAAAACAAGAAGAAAAUCUUAUUUUGCACUUGAGAGUUUGUACUUUGGACAAAGAUUCAUGAAAAUGAAAUAAGAAAUCCUUAAACUACCCAAGGAAACAUAAAAAUAGCUUCCUUCCUUUUCUCUGUCAUGUCAAAAGAAAUUUUCAGAUUCUCUCAGAAAAAAAAAACCAUAUUUUUGCAUAGAAUUUUGAGCCAAUUUGCUUCCAAUUGAUGAAUAGAACAAAAGCUACAUUUGCUUUAAACGAUUCCUCUCUUGAUAAACCCAUCAACACUUCUUCCUCUUAUCAUUAUUUUCAGCUCCAAAAAACAUUUCCACUAAUCUCCCUUGUUUAGGUAAUAAUUGAUUCUCUCUCUUUCUUUAAUUUCAUUUGCUUAUUGGCUUUUGUUUCAGUUCACCUUUUUAAUGUUCUCUUCUUCUUCCUUAUCUUCUUAGUUAUUAUUAUUAUUUAUUGGAUUUCGUAUAAUGUAAGCGGUACCCACUUUAUAUUUUGGCUUCAAUUUUAUGAAUUCAUCGUGUAUAUUGUUUAAGAAAAAUCUAUGCUGCCUGGUUUUGUCUUACAAGACAGGAAAUAAAAUUUUAAUGCUUCUAGGCAGCUGCUAAGUGUUGUAAUAGAUUGAAUUGUUAGCCUUUAAUUUCUGAUAAAUAUUCCAUUUCAUAUUUUAUUGAUAUUUUGAAUGAAAUUUAUGCUACAUUUUAGAUAAUUCAAUCCCAAUGAUUUGUUAACUUCAAAAACCAUGGCAAACUGAUAUGUUUACCAACCCAUCAUAUGAAUUGGAUCGCACGAUCCAAUCACAUAUCGUAUGCGAUCCUAUUGAUAAAUCGUUAGCAUCCCAAAAGACAAAUGCUUGCGCUUGGUUCAGAGGUUUCUAGUGUGCUUUAGAUUCUAUUUGCUUGCUGUAGGAACUAGCUGCUUUGCUAAGUUUGGUACUCGACUCACCAUAAUGAAGGAAACUAUCUAUUUUCAGUUCAUUUCUGUUCAUCUUUGCGACUGCCUUUAAGCAGGAUAAGGCAUAAAUAGAUACGCAGAAACAUGGGCACUCCUGCCGAGUCAAAGAGAAGAGUGGCAUUCGUGUUGAUCGAUGGAUUGGGGGAUGUAUCAAUACCGAAGUUUGGGUGUAAGACUCCUCUGCAGGCUGCAAAUGUUCCAAACUUGGAUGCCAUAGCAUUAGCUGGAGUUAGUGGCCUCAUGGAUCCUGUGGAAGUAGGUUUGGGUUGUGGGAGUGACACUGCUCACCUUUCGCUGUUGGGCUAUGACCCCAGAGUAUAUUACCGAGGACGUGGUGCAUUUGAGUCCAUGGGGGCUGGAUUGGCGAUGUCACCUGGAGAUAUUGCAUUCAAGGUGUCUAACCUGUUCUACCUCGCCUUUUAUUUGUUUAUUUUUACUCUCCUGCAUUUCUUGGUCGAUUGUUUUGUCGAUAUUGUUUCUGUUUUGGACCAUUCACUAAGCAUCCCUUAAUGGGGUAAUAUUAUGAACUAUGAUACUUCUCAAAUGCUGAUAAUUUGAUUUUUUGAUUCAAGAAUUUCAACUUAUUAGUUAAGUUUAAUGUGGUCAUUAGCUUUUAUAUGAAUGAAGGAAUUUUUGUCAUUGGCUGUAUUUUAUUUUCACAUUUAAUAUAAAAAACAUACACUUAUACUUGUUGCAUGAGAUGAUUUUAUAUGAUCUUUUACUUGAAAACCUUACAUCUUUAAUCUCCAUUCCCCAGAAAAUAAUUAAACUUAGUCCCUUUUCUCCUAACAGGUAUAAUCUAGCUUCUGACUUUAAUCACUGAUUCUUUUGAGCAUUUUCUUUAAUAUUUUUACCAAGUUUUCUUUUGGCAAUGAAUUUUACCAACAAGUUAACAUGUAAUAGUUCUGUAUAUUUUCUUUAAAGAACAUUAUUUGUGUUCUUAUACAUGAUUACCCAUUCCAUUUUUCUAUCUCCAGUCAAAUUUUGCAACUUUGGAUGAGAAAACUGGCAUAGUUACGAGUAGGAGAGCUGACAGGCAUUUUGAAGAAGAGGGGCCUAUCCUUUGUGGUGCCCUGGAUAGAAUGAAGCUUCCAUCUUUUCCUGAGUAUGAAGUCAGAGUCAGGUACAUUGUGUUUCUUUGCUGUAAUUUUGAGUUUCUUAGUUCUGCACGAUAUGUAGAUUAGUUGACAAUGUUUCAUUUUUACAGGGCCAUUUUAGUUAUUGAAGUUCCUAUGAUUGACAAUUUUGAACCUAGGAAAUGUCUUAGCAGAAAUGGUUGUGGUGGUUAGCCUAGAUGGAUAUGAGAAUGUUUUGUUCGAUGUGAACUUUGUUAAGGAUUCAAUUGAGACUUUAAGCUUCUAUUGUGAACCAUUUAAUGCUAAGUCAUCAUAAUCAACCUCAUACAGGUAUGCAACAGAACACCGAUGCGGAGUUGUUGUUAAAGGGCCAAGACUCAGUGGAAAUAUAUCAGGAACUGACCCAUUGAAGGACAACCGCUUACUUCUGGAAGCCAAAGCUUUAGAUGACACAGAUGAAGCAAGACACACGGCUGCAGUUGUUAAUGAGUUAUCCUGGGAGAUUUCGAGGAUACUGGUGUCUCACCCGUUGAAUGCAAAAAGAUUAGCAGAAGGGAAGAACAUUGCUAACAUUGUCCUUCUAAGAGGCUGUGGUAUUCGAAUCGAGGUAUUUUAUUUUGUCCUAGAAUUUUCCCUAAUGUAUAUGCAUUUGACUUCUUUGAAUGUGGAGAAAAACACGUGCACCGAAAAAAAAGAACAUUUUGCGUUUUGCAUUUUUCUAAUUGGUUUCUUGUUCUUCUAUAAUAAGAUAACCGAGAAAUGGCUCUAUCUCUUCUAAUUAUGUAGGUUCCUCCAUUUCAAAAGAAACAUGACUUGUGGCCUUGCAUGGUGGCACCCACAAAAAUUAUUGCAGGAUUGGGCCUAUCACUUGAUAUCAAUAUCCUAGAAGCUCCUGGUGCAACUGGGGACUAUCGAACACUUAUAACUUCAAAAGCAACUGCCAUAGCUAAGGCGCUUUCUGCUCCUUUACAGACUUGUCCUAAUGUCUUUGUUCCAGGGGAGGAUGAGCACAAGCCUGGCAGAUCAGAUGGCUAUGAUUUUGGAUUUCUCCAUAUCAAGGUAAUGACCAUAUAUGAACUCAUCAUUUGUCGCCAUUUUUCGUGACUCCUAAACUUAACAGAUACUUGUAAAUAGCUACCUUUUGGGCUAGAACCACUGUUAUUUUCCCCUUCUCUUUCCUUGAGUUUUCAUCCUGUUUAAUCCCACAUAAGAUAAUCUUGUUUUGGAGUUUGCUGAUCAUUUAUGUCGAACAUAUCCUAAUUUAUCAAUCCUGGGUUUGAGAAUCUUUUCUUGCCCGUGGAAAAAAAUAUCUCCGAAGUGGCAGGGCAUGAGGAUAUAAUUGUAUCGUGAAAAUUGUUUGACAUUCAGAAUAUCUUAUCACAGAGAUUGAUUUAUAUAUUCCAUUUUGGCUUUGUAUGCAUUUCCCCUCCUUGUUACGGACACUAACAAGGUCUAAUGUUUAUGGAGUUCUGAAAUAUAUGGACAUGGUUAUCCAUGUUUAAGCAAUGUGAUUUACUUGAUAUUUCUAAAUUGCAGGCAAUAGAUGAUGCAGGUCAUGAUAAGGCAACUGUUUUCAAAGUAAAAGGAUUAGAAGCUGUAGAUCAAGCUAUAGGGCAGCUGGCUAAGCUCAUGUGGCAGGCUGAGUCAACCGGAAACUUUCAAUAUUUUAUUUGCGUCACUGGUGACCACUCUACACCUGUUGAAUAUGGAGAUCACAGUUUUGAGCCAGUUCCAUUUGCAAUAUGCCGGUUGAAAGAUUUUGUGGGUGCCAUUGGUGGGGAGUCUGUUAUUUUGGAACCUUCUCUUGAUCCUUUUCCUCUUCCAACCGUUAAGGCGGGUGAAGACCUAAAUGAAGACAUUACUUUAGGAAAAGGGAGAAAUUGCAAGCAAGUUGAAUCAUUGUCUGGUGAUUCAGUUUUCGAGUUUAACGAGAUUGCUGCAGCGAGGGGUGCUCUUGGACGGUUUCCCGGUGGAGAGAUGAUGGGAAUUAUAAAGAGAUUUCUUAAAUUAAGUGCUUGACUAUCAUUAGCUCUCAGUAUCUGUAUCAGGUACUUCUAAUCCUAAAUAGACUGCUGUUAUCCAAUGAUAACCAUUGUUCUUCUUUUGUAAGCAAAAUAAAGAUUGCAUCUUAACAGUGGCACACAUUUUUUGAAUAAAGCAGUUCCUAUUUCUUGUUCACUUUGAAUAAGUCGUUCAUCAUUCUUAGAGAUAGCAGCUAGGCAAGACUCAUGAGACUCUUCUCUUUUGUAAAGGAAAACCAUUGGUGAUCCUCUAGAAUCAAAGGGAAAACUCCGAAGAAUAUUGAAGAAUAUGCACGCUGAAUGUGUUGAUUCAUAAGAAUUUCCCAUUUGUUUUAAAUAUUUCGUUUCUUUAUAUAAUAAAGUGUCAUGUAAACAAUCAUGAUAAAGUAAAAAAAAAAAAAAAAAAAAAAAGAGCAGGUACUAAAGCAAGCACUAUUCUUCCUACUAGUAAGUUGCAUAUGUGUAAAUACAUCAGCAAAAGCAAGUAAACAAAGCAAAGUUUAAAGCAAAAUGUUGUUUUGCCUUAUCUUUCAACACUUCAAAUCUAAUUUAUAUAUUAUCGUAAACUAGUCUCUGAGUUAUACUUCUUUUAAACGGUUUAUCACUUAAAAAGUUUCACAAUUAUUUGCUCAUUUUUUUAUUCAAUCAAUUGAAUUAGUUGAUUAGUUCAAUGCUCAACUUUUUUUUCGGCAAAUCAUUAAAAAAGGUAUAAUUGGAGGAUAAUUUACACAUUAAACCUUAGUCAUAUACGUGUGCUUAUUUUUUUAAAAGUAGUGGUCGUCAUUUAUCACACUUUUCUUUUUUUUCUUUUUUGCUGCUUUUCAUUAGCUUACAAGGCCCAUGUGCUCCUCGUUAUGUAAAACAAUCAAAUAAUCCAAUUUCUACUAGAAACCAACUUUUUUUAAAGCUUAAUCAAUAAGAAAAAAACAAUCAUAAAAAGGGAUCCUCCUCCAAUACCUCACCAUUUCAAAAAACCAAAGGGAGAAAGAGAGAGGAAGUGUGUGUUAGUCAGUGGCAGUAGUGAUGUAUGUGACAAGGCCCCUUUCUUUAUACAGGAAAUCGCCAAAUGCCCUUGAAGAUGAACCACCUGCAGAAGGCCCUUAUUCAGGUUAUUUAGUGAUUACAGAUGAAGAGGCUGAGGAACAAGACACCUUCUGUUUCGGGGCUAUUAAGAGGAAGGCUGUUGAAAAGCUGCCUUUCCCACAAGACAAGAUAUUGAAUGUUGUUCAUUCAUCGGAGGUUGAGGAAACUAUGGUCACUAGGGUCUGGUUUAUUCCUGUUCUUGAUCAGCCUCUUGCUUCUAAUCACUACUAUGUUAUUCGAGCCAAAGGCAGAUAGAAAGGGUAAGGCUAUAUAUAUACUAAUCAACAAUAUAUAUAAUCUGUAUUAGAAAUUGUGUUUAUGUUGUCAACUUGCAGGCUAGCAUGUACAAGUUCAAGGGAAAUAGAUACCAAACUAUGUUGUUUCUUCAAUAAUGGUGUAAGUGAUGCAAAACCAGAACCAUUUGAUCACCGAAACGUAUAUCAACAGUUCAAGAUCCAUCGUCACCAUGGGCACAGUUUCUUUGCUAAAUCCACCGCUACAGAUUCAGUCCCACCAAAAUUCUUAAGGAGAAAUGGAUGGGAACUUCGUAUCUCACGCUCAUACAGGUUACAACUAAACCAAGCACUAGGCCUCGACUCAUCUCUCCGAAAACGCCUCCCCAGUUUCGAUUUCCCCAUGUACAACAAGAAGUCACCUUCAGUUGCCAUCGGACAAUGGUACUGUCCCUUCAUAUUUAUAAGGGAAGAGUCGAGACUAAGGCGACAAAUGAAGAAAUCACUGUUCUACACGAUGACACUGGAGCAAUGGUGGCAGCAGAUUCAUUCAUGCGACCAAGUGAACGAUGAACAAACUGAGGUGAAGAUGAGUAAAAUCGUGAAAAGGGAAUUCAUUUCUGUGAAUGGUAUGCUUGGUGAGAGAGAAGACACGGUUGGGCAAGGAGGGUUUUGGUGGUUCAAAACUUUACCGAGAAACGAUGGCCGAAAGAGCAGCAGUGUUGGGUUGAGUUUAGCUAUAAUGGAGAAAAUGAAAUGGUUACAAGAGGAAGGAGGAUGGUAUAAAGGAGAUGAAAGUGAAGUGAGGGUUGAAAGAGAAGAAGAAACAAGAAGUGAAGAAAGUGGUGGGUGGAGGAGAUAUGCUUGUUAUAUGCUGGUGGAGAGCUUUCAUUUGAGAAGAAUGGAUGGGAGUUUGGUGCUAAGAAGUGAUUUUAGGCAUACUCAAAAGAUUCGAUCUAAAUGGGAAUGAAUGCUGUUGAUAUGUUAUCAGUUAAUGAAGCUUUAAUCUACGGCUUAAUUGGGUUCAUCUUCUUGUAUGUCUUUAAGUAUUACAUGCUGGCUCUAAGAGCUGGGGGAUACUGGAAGCAGUUGUAAUUAUCUAUCUAUGUUAUCCCCCCAAGAAUUCAUACUACUCCAUGAAUAUUUUGAAAGCAAAAAAUAUUAUGGUUUUGCCAUUUCAGAUUUAUUUUCCCUAUUUUAAUUUACCACGGUUUAAUUUUUUAAUAACAUUUUAAAAACAAUUUCUUUUGUCUCGCCAAGAUGAAAUGAGUUUUUUUUUUAAUGUUAAUAUAGAGUUUUUCUUAUAAAAAAAAAUUUAUAUAUAACAUUUUAAUUUGAAUACGAGAGAAUAUGAACAUUUAAACUAACUAAUAAGAGUAUAUAAAGUUUAAUUAAAAUUGACUUAACCGGUGAAGGUGAGUUAAUUCGAUUCAUUAAUUUACUAAUGAAAUUAGUUCAAUCGAAGUAAUCAUUAAAAGAUUUUUGAAAUUUUAAUUAUAGUUUAAAAGUUAAUAUUUAACCAAAUUUAUUACUUCACCCAAGUGAUUAAUAAUAAAUAUUAUAUGUAUUAUAUAUAAGAAGCAUAAAUUCAAAUUAUAUAACAUAAAAUAUUAAAACUUUAAAUAAAAUGUAAAAUAGGUAAGAAUUAACAAAAAUAAAACUUAAAAACCCUAACACUAUCAUUUUAGUUGGGUUAAAUAAAAAUUUAUUAACUUAAUCAAAUUUAAUUUAGUUUAGUUUAGUUUUAAUUAUUUUUGCAAAAAAAAAUUAUUCGAAUGGUAGUGUGGUUGAGUUAUUUAUUUGAACACCCUACUAACUAAUGGCAUUAAGUAAAGGAAUCAAAUUAUACCAAUAAAUAGGGGUGUUCAAACUUUGGUUAAAAUUAAAUUAACCGACCGAAUCGAUCUAAUUCAGUUAAUCGGUCGGUUAACCGAUCUAGUUCAAUUGGAGGUCGGUUAAAGUUUUUUAAAAUUUCGAUUAGUGGUUAAUUCGGUUCAAAAUCAGGUACUUAAUCGAAUAUAUUGAACUUAAUAAAUAAUAUUAUAUAUUAUAUGUAUUAGGCUAUUACUAGUUCUGUUAAUUCGAUCAAAUGAACAUUAUCAAUUUUUUUAUAUAUUUUAUACUUCUUUUAACCAAAAAAACAAAUAAAACAUAUAAAUUUCGAUUAAUUCGGUUAACUGACCAAAUUAACCAAAAUAUUUCGAUUCGAUUAAUUUUUGUUAAAAAAAAUUGGUUCGGUUAAAAGUUAAAGGAUUAAAAAUUCGAUUAAUUCAGUUAAUACUAGUUUGGUUCGAUUAACCGUUUAAACACCCCUACCAACAAGUGCAAUAGUAAGGCACAUUGCACUCUCAAGUAAAGGACUUAGAUUUUAACAUUAUAUGCAACAUUGUUGGAAUGGCAACUAUAAACCUUAAAAGGAUUAAUUUUUGUGGACCGUAAAAUAGGAUACCUUGGUGUAAUAAGUUGAUGUAUAUUAGAUUUUGUCAUACUCAAAAUAAAAAUAUGAUUAUAUUAGCAUUUAUUCUUGAUUUAAAAAAAAUAAUUUUUAAAUAAUUUAUUUAAUUGAGUUAAUGUCAAGUUAACUUAUGAUAUUCAAAAUAGAUAGACAACUAUUCUUUAAACAUAGAAAUUGUUCGUAGAAGCGGUAUGGGGAGCUUCAAGUUUCAAUUACAGACCAGAACGAAGGUUUUGUUGGGAUAUAGAGAUUGGUAAUAUCUGAACUGUGUAUAAAUUUUAAAUCAAUUUACUUUAAAUGGAAUAUUUUUUAGACAAGAAAUGUGGAAUGAUUAUAAUAAUUAUUUUGCUUUAUUUAAUUUAUUAUAUUAAAUUAUUAUUUUAUCUUUAUAUAUAUUAUAUACAUAUAUAUAUUUUUGUUUUUGAUGAAAUAAAAUUGAAAGAAAUCAACUACAUGAAACAACUAUUGUUUUUAUCCUUCUUUAACAAAUCAAUAACCUCAUUGGGAGCUUCAUUGAAAACAUGAAGACUGGAUUUCCAAUUUAGAUCGAGUUUAACAAGAUGGUCUGCCACUAAAUUUUGAACUCGUGGAAUAUGACUGACUCUCCACUUUCCUUCCGUCUUCAUGAUACGUUAGGUCCUUCUAAGAAUAGUAAUCUCGGAUUCCUCCAAAUCCAAAUCGGACAAGGUUUUAACGACUUCAAAGUUAUCAGAUAAUAUCAAAAUUCGUCUAUAACCUUUAUUAAGUAAGAUGAGAAUCCCAUCAAGAAUGCCCCAAACUUCAGCUUCAAAUGGAGAGCAGACUCCUAAAAAAAUGAGAGAACCUCACAAUCCAAUUUCCUUCCUUAUCUCUAGCCACGCCUCCAGAAGCAGCAUAUCCUGAAUUUCUGGCCACAGCUCCAUCAGUGUGAAGAGAGACCCACGAAUCAUUUGAAAAAGUGACCAAUUUUGAGCUAAAGGAACUCCUUUCUGUAGAACCCAUACGUAAUCCGUAUUGGCGAGCCCAACAACUCGAUUUCCAAACCACCUCAGUUGCUGACCAGGAAAGAUUUUGAAAAAUGAAUAGAUUUUUAUUCUUCCAAACACGCCACACCACUACUCCGAAUAAGCAUGGCCAGGAAAGUCCACUAUCCUGUAAUCUUUCAUGAAAAGACAGGUUAAGUGAAAACCAAUAAGGAAAUGGGGAAGAAAAGAACCUUUGUUUAAGUUGUUCCGGAAGAAUAAGCAUCCACACGUUUUUUGCAAAGGAACAAUCUCGAAAGACGUGGGCUAAACCUUCAGUCGUAUGACCACAUAAAGCGCACGAGCUACAAGCACUCAAUCCCCUUCUAACACUCUCUGAGUUAAUGAGGAGUCUCUGUUGGACAGCCAGCCAAAGAAAGACUCUAACUCUUUGUGGACCCGGUAAAUUCCAAAUAGCCUUCCAUUGCUCAUCAAGGGUCUUCCAAGUAGAUUCUUUUAAGGUCCAAUAAGCGCUACGAACAGAAAAGGCUCCAGAAGAUAAUUGAGCCCAAACCACUCUAUCAGGACUAGAGUCAGGAUGGGGGGAGAAAUACUAAUAAUCUUACAAACCACAUCUUCAAAUAACCAAACACGAAGCAAUUCUACGCUCCAGCUUCCAUCCAAGUUGACUAAAUCCCUAACACGGCAGUCAAGAUCAAUGUUAGAAAAGCCUGGAAUUUUAGAAAUUAAAGAACCCAUACCUAGAAUCCGUUUGUCCUUCCAGCAUCGGACAGUGGAUCCAUCACCAAGAGACCAAAUUAAUUUAUCCCGAAUAAGAGGCCACAACUUAGAAAGAGCUUUCCAUAGAUGUGAGCUUCGACUUUUGUAAAUCGAAUCUAGGAUAGAUUCUUUCCAACAGUAUUUAGAGCGAAGAACACGAACCCAAAUAGCAUUGUUCUUAGAGCCAAGACUAUAUCCAAUCUUCAUAAGAAAAGAAUUAUUCUGAUCUUCCAAAUGUCUAAAACCAAGUCCACCCCUAGAGCAAGGCUGACAAAUAGAAUCCCAACCAACCAGAGACAUUUUGGAGUGAUCAUCAGUACAACCCCAAAUAAAUUGUCUAACCAACUUUUCAAUUUCUAAGUAGACAUUUUUCGGUAUCAUCAAUGACUGCAUAAAAAAAUUUGGAAUGGAAAGAAGAAUCGAUUGCGCUAAGGUGAUCCUCCCAGCCAUAGAUAACUUUCUAGCAUCCCAACUCUAUAAUUUCUGUCUUACCUUAUCAACAAGAAAUCUAAUAGUGCAUUUGGUAACCCUCUCGUGGAAUAAAGGGACAUCAAGAUACUUCCCUAAAUUCUGAACUUCUUGAAAUCCGAAAACCUGAACAAUUUGACUACGAACCUCUCUAGAAGUAAUCUUAGAAAAAAAGAUAUUACUUUUCCUAGUGCUAAUUCUAUGUCCCGAGUAUCACAAAACUGAUGAAGAGUACACUUAAGCAUUCGGGCUUAAUCCAGCUGAGCUUUGCCGAAAAUAACAAGGUCAUCGGCGAAGAUUAAAUGAGAAACAGCUGGACUAUUUCGAGACAGUCGAAUAGGCUCCUAUUUCUCGCUUUCUAUAUUCUUACGAAUGAUAUACCCUAACCACUCCAUGCACAAAACGAACAGAUACGAUGACAAAGGGCACCCUUGAUGGACACCCCUAACUGGUUUAAACUUACGAGUAGGAACACCAUUCCAAAGGAUCUGCAUUGUAGAGGAGGAGAUGACAGACAUGAUUACUUUCCGCAAACAGAUAGGGAUUCCAGUCGCACUCAACGAAGCCUCAAUGAAUUCCCAACUAACUCUGUCAUAAGCUUUCUCCAAGUCAAGCUUAAGGGCCAUCCAAUUUCUCGCUUUCUGUUUACAUCUCAUAGAAUGAAUGAUUUCUUGUGUAAGAAUAAUGUUGUCUGAAAUGUUCCACUCGGCUAUAAAUCCAGCUUGUUCCUGGGAGAUCAACUUAGGAAAAAUCACUUUGAAUCUAUUGGCAAUCACUUUCAUUACCAACUUGUAUAACACUGAGCAAAGGCUGAUAGGCCGAAACUGACUGAAGUCUUUAGGAUUCUCUUUUUUGGGAAUUAGAACAAUCAACAUGUUAUUCAGAUCCUUCUCAAUCUGUCUUCCAGCAAAAACCUCUUUGACCAAUUGGCACACAUCACCGCCAAGUAAAUCCCAUUGACUUUGAAAAAAAAUGGCAUGGUACCCAUCACUGCCAGGCGCUUUAAGAGGAGCCAUGUCAAAUAAUGCCUUUUUGAUUUCUUCAUUAGUGACAUCAGCUUCCAAAAAAAAAACUUCUGAAUGAUUAAGUCUAGGAAAAUCAAAGUUAGGCAUACCCAUUAAGGUAGGAGUAAUCUCACCAUAGAGUCUUUUAAAAUAGUCAACCGCUUUUUUCCUGCAAGAUAACCUGAUCAGAACACCAAUCUCCUUCAUCUAAGCGUAAAGAAGAAAUGCGGUUGAAAUUCCUUCUCUUAAUCGUGCGGCUAUAAUAAAAUUUUAUGUUUCUAUCUCUCAAUUGAAGCCAGUCACAACGAACCUUCUAUCUCCAAAAUAAGUCUUCAUGAUCAAGAACAUUUUCUAACUCGUCUCGAACUUCCAAUUCCUUUUGAAAAAUGAGACUAGAUGGAGAAUGAUCAAUGGCUUUUUUAAUAUUAUUAAGAGAACGCAAAAAAGUCCGCUUACGAGAGUUCAAAAAGCCAUAUACGUUCCUGUUCCAGAUUUUGAUAUCAGAAGUGAAAUUAUUAAGAGAAUCACUCAUAUUACCAGAAUACUUCCACUUCUCUUUAACAAAAGUAGGAAAAGUGCUAUGGUACGUCCAUCCCACUAAGAAUCUGAAUGGUCUCCCUAUGGAAACGUUGAGGUUCGGAUUAGUAUGAAGUAAGAUAGGCCGAUAAUCCGACUUAAUACGAGUUAGGUGAUAAACUAAACACUGCGGGAAUGUUAACAUCCAUUAAUCAUUUAUGAGUGCUCGGUCAAGUCUAACAAAAGUGCUACCUCGUUGUCAAGUGAAAGAGGGUCCACUAAAACCUAAGUCCUGCAAAGCACAAGAGUCAAAGAAAUUACCAAAAGAUUCACAACGUUUACCAACAUUAAAAGGACUUCUUUUAUCCGAGGGGAAAGAAUAGCGUUAAAGUCUCCCAUAAUAAGCCACGGAAUAGAUUGAGAUGGGGAAACAACUCUUAAUCAUUCCAAAGAAGCUUUCUUUUUAACCUGUCAGGACUACCAUAAACAAAAGAAAUGAAAAUAGAUUUAUUGCAAAUAAAGUUAUCAACACGAAGGGAAAUAAAUUGAGGAUGACUGCAAGUAAUAUAAACUCGAACAGAGUUCUUCCAUCCUACCCAUAUACCACCUGAAAAGCCGACAGCUUCAACCCGACGAGAGAAAUUAAAACCCAAUUGAUCAAUAAUAAAAUUGACUUUAUUAGCAAUUACUCUUGGUUCAACUAGAAAAAUAAUAUUCGGACUAAAUUCUGAAUUAUAUUCAUUAAAAGCCCGAAUAAAUUUCCUGUUAGCACUGCCUUGACAAUUCCACGAGAAAACUUUAAAAUUAGGCUCCAUCGAUAUAAAAAUAAAGAUAAAAUGAAGAGCAAAUCAAGAAAAAAAUUAAAUCCAUUUAAAUAAAAUUUUAAAGGAAAAAAACCCAAAAAACAACAAACCGCCUUACUGUCUAGGGGUUGAAGACCCCUCCAUUUGUCCAUUCUUUCUAGAAAAAAUUACAUCACUACCAUUCUCCUUGGAGAUAAUAGAAAUGCUUUCAGCUAAUUGCUCCAUUGAAUUUUUUAGAGAAACAUGAAGGGACCCAUGAUUCUUGAACCGCACAUUACUGCCUUGAAGGCUCUUGUUAUGCUUGUUAAUUUUUCCUCUAAUUUUUGUCCCUUUUUCCCGAAUCAAGAAACCCCGUUGACGAUGAUGAACUGUUUGAUUGAGGCGCUUCUUGUUUAUCACAAAAGAUCACUGCCGAGUGCUUCCUCGAGUCUAGCUUUCCAACAUCAACCAGCUUCUCACUUCUGUUAGAUUCCUUUAAAGUUGGGCUAGAACGAAUUGCAGCAUUCUCCCUAUCAGUAGGGAGGGAUUAGUCUUCUCCAUUUUGUUCUAUAUCGUCCACUGCUUUAGCAAGAGCACUGUUAAAACCUCCAGAACCAUCAGCGCCCAAAUUGGACCCUUUGGUAAGAUUCUCUGCAGCCUGCAUUUUUCGAUCCAGUGGAAUUCAGGCCUGAAUUGGAGAAUUAUCUCCUAAGCCCAAACUAUUGGUAAGAUUACCUAAGCCUUGUUUUAAAUCUAUAGAAUUAAUGUGGGUCUUGACAGAAUCCAAAAGAGGGCUAUUAUUCCUCUUGAUGAAUGGGCCAACACUAUUCUUGGGCCCCAUCUCCUUACCUUUACCGUUACUAUUACUUUUAUUAACUUUAUUCUGCCCAUUAAUUCAAACUCCCGUGACUUUCCUCUAUUGAUCCUCUAUUGAAAUAUUUUUCCCUUUAGCCUUCUGGAUCUCAGACAUAUCCCUGAUUUAUGAUUCUUUUAUUAAUUUUCUAUUUUCAAAUCCACUGAGAUUGGAACUUUCCUUUUCCCUCUCAAGAUUCUCGUAUGAUUUCUGCAUCUCGAUCCUUGAUUUGCGCCUAGAUUUCCUUUCAACGAUCAUCCAAGGACUAUAGUUACCAUCUUUUUUCUCUGUAGUUUCAAUGUUCAAAUUUUGGUUUACCGGUUCUUCCACCAGUGAGCCUAUGUUCGCUUCGAUCGGAGCUUCGGCAACUUUGAAAUUGCAUAUACUUUCCACAUGCCCAUACCUUCCACAAUGAAAGCAGAUUGUAGAGAGGGAUUCAUAGUCAACUCUUUGUUCACGUUCAUUGAUUAAGAUUUGUGACACUAAUGGUUUUUCUAAAUUAACAUACACUGCUAAUCUAGCAAAUCUUCCUCUUGUUCUACUAUCAGUGUUUAUGUCAAGCUUGACCAUUUUCCCUACAAGAUUACCGAUCUCAAUAAUAAUUUUGUGGUUGUAUAGAUAACUUGGUAAAGCAAGAAAUCUAAUCCAUGCCAUCACUACACUUGGGAACGUCUGAGAAGGAUCGAAAGCCAUUGUUCAAGGCUGGACAGUCAAAUAUUGACCAAAGAUUGUCCACGUGCCUUCCGAGAGAGCCUUCUCACAGUCGAAAUUGUUUUGAAAAUUUGACUAAAAAGUAGCUAUUCUCAAUGUCCAUCAUAUGAAAAGGAGCUGAAGGUUUCUAUAUAGAAUAGAUUUUAUUCUGCAAAACUGAGAAACCAAUAUUGCGACCAAGAAGUUUUAAGAUCACAGUAUUGCUCAUGAUCUAAAUAAGGAUCUGUUGAAUUCGAUCCGAAAAAUUGAUGGAAGGUACUCUGUUCACCAUAGUUUUCUGAAUAUCACCUUCCAAAAUAUCUAUAUUCUCCUUAUCGUUUGCUUCUUCAAAGCCACCCUUCGACUAUUCACCGACUAGCAUAUCUCUCCAUGAAGUAUAUUGAUCAGAGGACAAUUCUAUCACCAUAUCAUUGCUCUUUUCUACCUCUUUGUCUCUGAACCUGACCUUCUUAGGGCUCGUCUCUUCCACAGAUGAAUUUCCAGGAACAGCAGAAUCACCGAGAGAAUUCAUAGCUCCAAAAAAAAACUGAUUAUGUAAGUCUUUUUACUUUUCCUUUUUUUUUCUUUUCAAUUUUGUAUUUUAUCUUUAUAUAUUAUAAAAGAGUAAAAUAUAUAAAAGAAAAGGUUAAAACCUUAAAUCACUAUGUUACAUCAAUUCAAUGGUUUUUUAUUUUUAGUUUAUGGUUUCUAACUAAAAAAAAGAUUAGAGAAAUUAAUUGCGUGAAAAAAAUUACUUUCCAACGCAAAUCCCUUAUUUUACUUGGAAGUUUUGUUACAAGUAAUCACGAUUAUGUAUUAAUUGACUUUUUUAAUAAUUAUGUUUAAAGGAUUGAUAAUAUUAAAAGUAACUAAUAAAAAUUCAACAUGAGUGGCUUUUAACUCUUAAGAUUAUAUAUUUAUAUUGCAAUUGUUACAUCCCAACAAUUAAGUUAGAAGAAAUUGGGUUAGUAGAUCAAGAUAGCUUAAUGAUUAAGGGAAAAUAAGAAGAUAGUAUGAUUGGCUUAGAGACCCGAGUUUGAAUCUCUUUCCGAACAAAUAAAUUAAUUUUGCUAUUUUGCUCACUCCCCUAGUUUUGUGCCACCCAACCUAUCUAAACUCUAGGUAUAUAUGUUAUUUCUUUCAUUGUUUUUCAACCUUCCUCUAUUCUCCCUCUGCUCUUGCUGUCCAUCUCAUAUUCCUCUCCCAUUCUUCUAAUUUUUUUCUUCUUCUUUCUUCCUCUUGUGUCGUCCCAAACACAGUGAAAUUCACCAUUUUUGUGCAGCCUUUUUGUCUAUUAUUCUGCUGCCAUUUUUCUAGCCACAUUAUUUUCAUUUUUAAUCCCUAAAUCAGCCUCCCAAUGUUGACCAUUGUCACUUCCUCUCCUCCACUUGUGGUGGUACCAGUUAGUUUCCAUUUUCUUUCUCUUUUCUUUUCAUUUUCUUGCCGAUUUUUCUGUUGUUUUUAUAGCCACUUUACUGUUGUUUCCAACCCUAAAAAUCGUCCCCUUUUUUUCCCAAAGAUCUUUCUUUGUGCCACUCACGUCAGCCCCCUUUUCUGCCACCAUUUGUAGUGUUGCCACCCUUGGAACACCAUUGCUUUAGGCUGUUGUUUUCUCUUCAUUUGUUGCCCCUCACAAUAGUGUGUUCUUUGAUUUUUCUUUGUUUAAAAACAACCCUUAACGUUUGAAAUCAAUAGGGUAUCCAAACAUGUUCAUCUGCCAUCUCAAAUCUGGUUAUUGAGAUAGGGCAAGUGUGGAUCUAUGCGAGAUCUUGUGUCAUUUGAUUUCAUUAAUGGUUAUUAUUUUCGUCGAAUGCUCAAGGCCUUAGAUUGACUUUUACUUACUGAUUUUUAUAUGUUAUUUCCAACUUAGGAAUUGAUUUUAACGUCUCGGAUCAACAGAGAAAGUUGAUUUUCAUUUGCACCAUCAUUUUGCAUCAAAUCAGUGUAAGUUAGCUUGUCGAAUUGGAUUUGAGAAAAUCGUUAAUGUAGCACUGAUUUGGUUGAAUGCAUUUCAAGACUGGUUUUAACCAUAUUUUAACGUGUUAGGUGUUGUAAUUUGGAUUUAGGCACAUUUAAAGCUUAAGUGUGGACCUUACGAAUUAGUGUUAUGGACUUGCGAAUUAAGGUAUGGGUUUUUCCUUUUGCUAAAUUAGUUUAAAAACCUUAUAAUACGUGUUUAGAUAGUAAAUUUGGUUGCUAGUUUUGGCAUGUCCGAAAGGUGUAAGUGCUAGUAGAUGAGGUGUCGAGUGAGAUACGUAUUUAAAUAGAUAGUCCGAUUGUUAAAGGCCCUAUUGGGACCGAAUGAAUUGUGUAUGAGUUGUAUGUGAUGUAUAACUUUGUAUUGUAACUGAUGGAUCGUAUGUCGGUAUAUCAAGUCUCUAAUUGCUAAGUCUUGAUGAAAAUGCAUAUAUAGCAUGCUGAAUUUUGAAACAUUGAUUGAUAUGCAUGUAAUAUAUCAUGAAUGACAUUGAGCUUGUAUGUAUAUAAAUUACAUACCAUAUGUGAAAAUGACUGUAUGGAAAACAUGUAUGCAUGCCACUGUUACUAUAAAAUGAACAGCAUGCAAGGCAUACACCGAUUAUAUUAACUAAAACGCAUGUUAAGCAUGUUGUAAUACCAAAAUCAUAAUGAUAAACAUGAUAUGCUGAUUGAUUGUAUGACAUAUUGCAUCUGCAUGGGGUAGGUACUUAUGGUUGAUGGAGGAGUUCAGUGGAGUACGAACGACAUUUAAAAUCCGCAUAUUGAGUCAGUAUACUACACCUGGAGUACCGAGGAGAUUGUGCGAUUUAUUACUAACAGCUUGUCUGCACCAUUAUUGGCAGUUUACCUGCAUUACUGAUAUUGGUGGCUUGUCCAUAUUACUAGUAGCUUGUCUACACCGUUACUGGAAGUUUAAUUAUAUUACUGAUAUUGGUGGUUUAUCUACAUUGAGCUCUAGCUCGCACUGUUUGGAGUUCGAUAAACAGGUUUUGCAGAACUCGUGGUGUGUAGCGAAUGGAUGGGUAGGAAACCUUUUGCAUUGUAUCAUACACAUGACAUGCUCAUUCACUGAUUGGUUAUGCCAUGUUCGAUACUAAAACGAUGUUGAUUGUUAACUGUUAUAAUUUAUUGCAUGAUGGUUUAUUGUUGACCACACUGAGCUUUCAUAAGCUCACCCCAAUAGUUUUAAACUUUUCAGGUAACCUUCUUAACUAGGAUCAGACCUGGCAUUUGGAGCAUCAACUCGGACAUCGAACUUUUUUUAAGUUUAUUAUUUAAUUGGAGUUUUCCUUUGGUUUUGGACUGUAAUCAUUUUUAUUUAGUCUAUGGCUUGGUAAUUUUGUAUUUGGGGAUUUAUGUAACAUCCUAAAGUAGGGCCUAGAAGUUUGAGCCUAGUGAACUGUGAUCGUCAGUAAGCUUGGUGAGUUGGUAGUCGCUAGUAGGUUUGGCGAGCCGGUGUAUGGCAGUAGGUUUAGCGAGCUGAUGUACAAUAGAAGUUUUGGCAAGUUGGUGUUCGCUAGUGGAUUUGGUGAACUAUGACUGCUAGAGAGCUUGGCGAAAUAGGGAUCACCAGUGGGCCUGGUGAACUGUGAUAGUUAUUUUGGCCCAAUAGUAAAAAAGUAAGGGUAAUCAAAGGGUAAUUAUACCAAAAUUCAAAGUCAACUUACUUUUCUUUUCACAACACCAUCCAUGCAUGUAACUAUUUCCUACUUCUACUGUGACUAGGGUAUCCUAAGAACACCAAAACACUAAGUGCCUAUAAAUUAAGCCCUUUCCAUAGGAAAUCUCAUAUUCUAUUAAGCAACAAAGCUCUAUCAAAUCCUUCAUCGAUUACUCUGUUAUCAAGUUUUAAGAACCUAGAACUUAGAUCUUAGGAUCUAAGGUAAGAUUAUGUUCCUCUAUUGUGUUGAUGUUUAAGAAGAGUUUAGAACAAAGGAAACUAGGUUUGCCAAAAGACCAGCAUGUGCGAACUUAGGUUAACUUAUGUUUAUGUAUAAGUUUCUACAUGCUAUGUGUGUUAGUGACUUUUUCAUGUUUGUGAAAUGACGAACUUGACAGAACAAUCUAUAAGUAAAAACAAGGGAAAAAUGAAGCUUGUUUAAAGUUUUCAGCAAAUUGGUGAAUGUUUAGGGAUUGUCGUAUGUAUGUGCAAAUCAUAAUAUUAAUUAAUAGCUUAGAGUUUUAACCUAAGUUCAGUAAUACCCCCUACACGUAUUUAUUGUCGGAAUAGGGUACGAGGUAUUACCGGAGUUUAUAAUUUUUUUAUUUUUUUUAUAUUCAAUAUAGCCCCUUAUAAAUAUCUAACCUUCCCUGCAAUAUUAAAUCGAGACCAAUCCACAUCAACCAAACCAAUUCAACAUAUUUUCAAGAUAAAUUCAUGCAUAUUUAUAAGAUAAUGUCAUCACAUACCCAAAACCAGGUUUGUUAACCACACUAAUGGCUAACUUUACAUUCAUUUCACGUUAACAUUUACUUUAUUAGCUUAUACAUGCCAUUGAUUUCCAAAGUAAAGUUUCUUUAUAUACCGAAAUCUUGAGGUUGAUAGUGUGAUGUGUCUCCGACCAAAUCCGACCUCCGAGCUCUUAACACUACAAAACAGGGGAAAAUGAAACAGGGUAAGCACUUUGUGCUUAGUAAGCUCAUGUAACAAGAAUUAUACUUACCUAAUAUUUUCAAUACAAUACAACAAACAUUCCUAUAUCCAUUCAAUACAUUAUUACCCUAACAUGCACAAACUCAACAUUCAAGUUAGUACAAUAAUUUUCAUGUACCAAUAAUAUAUACUAUGAUUGAUGAGCUCAUCAAUACAUGAUUUCCAUUUCCUUAUAUUUUUUUUCAUAUUUAUCCCGUUGAAUUUCUUGGAAUUUUCGAUGGAUUUUCAGAGGUACACUUUUAGUGUACAUUUUCGGGUCCGUCAAUUCAUAUUCAUGUGCGCACAUUUCCAUUUCAGAGAGCACACUCCCGCGAACCUCAUCCUUACAGCGGGAUUACCAGUCCAGGCUAAAUCCCAUGUAAUAUAAACUCAUAGAGUAUUGUCGGAUUACCAGUCCAGGCUAAAUCCCCUGCAACGACAAUUACUCUAAUGAGCUUGGAUCUGAAUUACCAGUCCAGGCUAAAUUCAGACCCUAAUUCGGAUUACCUGUCCGGGCUAAAUCCAUUUUCCACAUAUUCUUCGGGAGGGCUAUAUCAGGAUAGGAUCACCCGUCCGGGCUAGAUCCUUUUUACCGUCAAUUCCUUUUCAGAGAUCCAUCGAAAUUUCCUUUCAUUCAACCGGGAUUUCUUUCCCCUUUUUAUCAAAUAUAUCAAUGUUUCAUCAAUUUUCAUACAAUGAACAUUCAAAUCAUAUUCACAUCAAUAAACAUACAUUUCAAGCAUUUAAGAAUAUAAUUCAAGUUACAUGAACUUACCUUGAUACUUGUUCGUGUACAAAAAUCUACUAAUCCUGAACUUUUUCCUUUCCUUGAUCUAGCUUCGUAUUUGAAUCUUCUGGAUCUAAAUAAAUAAAUUUAAUUAUCAAUUUAAUAUAUUUCAUGUUCAUAUGCAACAAUUUCUAUAAUUUCAUUAUUAUUAUUUAUAGUUUAUUCAAAGCUGUCUAUUUGAGUCAUAGUCAUUAAAUUAUUUAUAACUCAAGAUACGAAACUCUAAAUUAAAAUCCGUUAAUUUUCCAUGAAACUAGACUCAUAUAUAUUCUUACCAUAAAAUUUUCAGAAUUUUUGGUUUAGUCAAUAAGUACAGUUUAUUCGUUAAAGUCACCCUUGUUCUGCUGUCUGAUAGUUCUGACCCUUCUUCAUUAAAAAUUAAUUAUCUCUUCAUACAGAAUUCGGAUAAUGUUUCCGUUUGUUUUUCUUGAAAAUAGAAUCAUUCAAAAUUCUAUGCAUAUAAAUUUAAGCCCCUAAUUAUUUUUAUUCAAUUUUUAUGACUUUUCAAAGUCAGAACAGGGGAACUCGAAUUCAUUCUGACCUUGUCUCACUAAAUUCAUUAUAUCUCAUGAUUUACAGAUCCAUUGCUUACACUAUUUCUUCUAUGAGAAACUAGACUCAAUAAGCUUUAAUUUCAUAUUCUAUUCAUCUUCUAAUUCGAUUCCUACAAUUUAUGUUGAUUUUUCAAAGUUAGUCUACUGCUGUUGUCCAAUAUUAUUUUAGUGCAAGCUGUUUAUUACCAUUUUCCCCUAAGCUUUUAAUAAAUAACAAUUUUGUCCCUACUCAAUUAGCCUAUCAAUUGAGCUGAUUUUUCUCAAUUAACACUUUAUUCUAUCACCUUAAACUAGUUUACAACCUUUAGGAAUCAAAAUUUCAGCAAUAGACUUUAAUUCCAAACAUUUUUACAAUUAGGUCCUAAAAAUCAAUUUCUAUUGAAAUUACCUAAUAAAAUCAUCUCAUAAACAAAUUAAAGCUUUAAUUUCAUUCUAAUUCAUCAUAAAAUUAAAGAACUCAACCAUGGUGACUUUCAAUUUCAUCCAUGAAAUCAAAAACUAAUGAAUUUAAUAAUAGGACCAAGUUGUAAAAGUCUUAGAAACACAAAAAUUACAAGAAAAAGGCAAGGAUUAACUCACUUGGUGCAAACAUUAUGGAAUACCAGCUUAUAGAACCCUCCUAUGGCAUUUUUAGCUGCUGAAAUUGAAGAGAAAUGAAGAGAAAUCUAGAUAUUUCCUAUUUAGUCCUAGUUUUAUUUAGUUAAUUUUGCAAUAUUCCAAUUUUUCCCUUAAUUAUCAAUUUUCCUGCUGAUUUCAUGCCCUUGCAGUCCAGCCCGAAUAAAUUUUGGGUCUAAUUUCCUUUUAAAUCCUCUCUCAUUAGACACUUAAGCUAUUUAAUCAUCCUAUCCACUUUUACACAUUUUACAAUUUAGUCCUUUUCAUUUAAUUAACUAUCCAAACAUUAAAAUUUCCUAACAAAAUUUUAAUACCACAUUACUAACAUUUCAUAAAUAUUUAUAAAAUUAUUUUCAACUCAGUUUUACGAGAUAGAGGUCCCGAUACCUUAUUUUACUUUAUUUCUUCAAUAAUUUCUUUUUCUAACUAACCACUAAAUAGGUAAAAUUUUUCUAUCAAUAUUUUCAUACGAUUUUCCUAUCAUAUCAAUUUUCAUGCAAAAAUAUUGAAAUAAAUUUUUCUUUAAAUCGGAUUUAUGGUUACGAAACCACUAUUCCGAUAACCUUGAAUAUAGGCCAUUAUAACUCUCCCUCCCUUUUAGGAUUUUCGUCCUCGAAAAUCUUACCAGUAAAGAGGUUUGGGUAUUGUUUCCUCAUUGCCUCCUCCGGUUCCCAUGUCCCUUCCUCAAUCCCAUGCUUUUGCCACAAUACUUUCACCAAAUUUAUCUUUUUAUUUCUAAGCUCUUUUAUCUCUCAUGCCAAUAUCUUGACCGGUUUUUCACUGUAAGUCAUAUCCAGUUGAAUCUCCACUUUUGUUGGAGAAAUAACAUGUGAAGGAUCUGAUUGAUAUCGUCGUAACAUAGAUACAUGAAAAACAUUAUGGAUUCUAUCAAGUUCCGAUGGUAAUGCCAAUCGAUAAGCGACUGGUCCAAUUCUUUCUAUGAUCUCAUAUGGCCCGAUAAAUCUUGGACUCAGUUUACCCUUUCGACCGAAUCGAAGAACUUUCUUCCAAGGAGACAUUUUCAGGAAUACCUUGUCACCGAAUUGAAAUUCAAUCUCUUUUCGUUUAAGGUCGGCAUAUGAUUUUUGACGAUCGGAAGCUGCUUUUAGACUAUCCCAAAUAACCUUUACUUUUUCUUCUGUUUCCCAGAUCAAAUCAACCCCAUGUAUCUUCCUUUCACUGAGGUUUGUCCAAUAUAACAGUGUUCUACAUUUUCUACCAUACAAAGCUUCAUACGGAGUCAUUUUAAUACUGGACUGAUAACUAUUAUUGUAAGCAAAUACAAUCAAAGGUAGAUACCUCUCCCAAUUACCUUCAAACUCUAGUAUACAACAUCGAAGCAUGUCUUCCAAUAUUUGAAUUACACGCUCAGAUUGACCAUCUGUCUGAGGAUGAAAUGCAAUGCUAAAAUACAACUGAGUACCUAAGGCUUCUUGCAAUUUGUCCCAGAAACAAGACGUAAAUCGGGGAUCUCUAUCUGAUAUAAUAGAGACAAGUACUCCAUGUAGCCUGACAAUCUCAGAUAUGUAUAGUUCAGCUAAUUUAUCUAAAGAAUAAUCCAUACGUACAGGAAUAAAGUGCGCUGACUUUGUCAAUCGGUCAACAAUCACCCAAAUAGCAUCUUUUUUCCUCGGAGACAAAGGUAACCCCGAUACAAAAUCCAUAGUGAUUCUUUCCCAUUUCCAUUCCGGUAUAAUAAUUGGCUGAAAUAACCCCGAAGGUACCUGAUGUUCAGCUUUAACUUGCUGACAUAUUAAACACCUUGAUACAAACUCAGAGAUAUCAUGUUUCAUUCCCGACCACCAGUACAUCUUUUUCAGAUCAUUAUACAUUUUAUUAGUCCCCGGAUGUACAAACAUAGUACCGUUGUGAGCCUCGUGUAGAAUCUUCUAUAUGAGUUCUGAAUUGUGAGGUACACAUACCCUACCUCUGAAUAAUAAACAACCAUCAGAACUAAUCUGAAAUUCAGAAUCAUUACCUGACUCACACUGUGCCCGUUUAACCUGUAACUUCUCAUCAUUCUUCUGAACUUCACUUAUUUGCUAUAAAAAUGUCAGUUUAGCUCUCAAUUCAGCUAUGAUUGAACCAUCAUCAGUCAGUGACAACUGGGUAUUCAUAGCUCAUAAAACAAAUAGAGAUUUUCGGCUCAAAGCAUUAACUACAACAUUAGCUUUACCCGGAUGGUAAUCAAUAAUCAAAUCAUAAUCCUUUAUCAGUUCAAGCCACCUGCGCUGUCUCAAAUUCAAAUCUUUCUAUGUCAUCAAAUAUUUCAAGUUUUAUGAUCAGUAUAAAUAUGACAUUUCUCACCGUACAAGUAAUGCCGCCAUAUCUUCUGUGCAAAUACAGUAGCAGCUAAUUCAAGAUCAUGUACUGGGUAAUUUCUUUCAUGUGGUUUAAGUUGUCUUGAAGCAUAGGCUAUUACUUUACCUUCUUGCAUCAAGACACAACCUAAACCAUUUAAUGAGGCAUCACUGUAAAUAACAAAUUCCUUACCCGGUUCAGGCUGCACUAAUACAGGUGCUUUCGUUAGUAGAUCUUUCAAUCGGUUGAAAUUCCGCUGACAUUCAUCAGUCCAUUCGAACUUUACAUCCUUCUACAAUAAUCGAGUCAUUUGAGAAGCUAUCAUAGAGAAUCCCUGUAUAAAUCUAUGAUAAUAACCAACUAAACCCAAGAAACUUCUAACUUCAGAUACAUUCUUUGGUGGAUUCCAAUUGACAAUAACUGAGAUUUUACUUAGAUCUACCUUGAUGUCUUCGGCAGAUGUGUCCAAGAAAACCCACUUUUCAAAGCCAAAAUUCACAUUUACUGAAUUUAGCAUAUAACUGCUUCUCUCGCAGAAUUUGCAACACAAUUCUCAAAUGUUCUGCAUGUUCUUCUUCAUCCCGAGAAUAAACCAAAAUAUCAUCAAUGAAUACUACUGCAAAUCUGUCUAAGUACGGUCUGAAUAUCCAGUUCAUCAAAUCCAUGAAUACUGCAGGUGCAUUACUUAGCCCAAACGGCAUAACCAGAAACUCAUAAUGUCCGUACCUGGUUCUGAAGGCUGUUUUUGGCAUAUCUGACUCCUUUACCCGUAACUGAUAAUAACCUGAUCGAAGAUCAAUCUUUGAAAACACAGUAGCACCUUUCAGCUGAUCAAAUAAAUCAUCAAUCUGGGGUAACGGGUACUUAUUCUUUAUGGUUACUUUAUUAAGCUGCCGGUAGUCAAUACACAGUCUUAAAGACCCGUCAUUCUUUUUCACAAACAGAGUUGGAACACCCCAAGGUGAAUGACUCGGUCGGACAAAAUCCUGUCAACAAGCUCUUGCAACUGUGUCUUUAACUCCUUUAAUUCAGUAGGAGCCAUCCAGUACGGAGCUAUGGAAAUCGGAGUAGUUCCUGGAAUCAAAUCUAUGGAAAACUCCACUUCUCUUUCUGGUGGCAACCCUGGUAAUUCCUCUGGAAACACAUCAUAAAAUUCACAUACUAUUGGCACUGCCUGUAUCCUUGACUCAGAUACCUUGGUGUCGAGUACAUAAGCCAAGUAAGCAUCAUACCCUUUUUUGACAUACCUUUGUGCUGCCAUUACUGAAAUCACAUCAGAUAACCCCUCUGUCUGAUCAGAUUUAACCCGGAGCAACUCACCAUUCUGACAUUUUAGCACAAUAUAUUUUUGUCUACAAUUUACUACUGCACUAUGCUAGAUUAACCAAUCCAUGCCCAAUAUUACGUCAAAUUCAUCAAAUGGCAGUAACAUCAAAUCAGCCAGGAAACAAUAACCUCUUACCAUCAGUGGACAAUUUUUACAAAUUUUAUCCACCAAAACAGAUUAACCCAGGGGGUUCGAGACUUUAACCAUAAAUUCAGUAGGUUCAACAGAUAAAUUUUUUACAAUUGCAAGUUUAACACAUAUAUAUAUAUGAAUGCGUAGAACCAUGAUCAAUCAAUGCAGUAAUAUCAGUAUCAAGUAAAGAAAAUGUACCAGUAAUAACAUCGAGUGCUGAGGCAUCUUUUCUGGCACGAAUGGCAUAUGUCCUAGCAGGUGAUCGUGCCUCAGACCUGCCUGUAGUAUCUUUCGUAGCUCCUCGGUAACCACUGACAUUACUAGAUGGUUGAGGUGGUCUGCCCCUCGAAACUGGAUUACUUAGCUUCGAUAUCUUCUCAGCUUCUUUUUCACCUCUUUCUGGACAAUCUCUGAGGAAAUGGUCAAAAGAACCACAUCGGUAACAAGCCCCACUCUUUAAUCGACAUUCACCAAAAUGAGCUUUAUUACAAUACUGACAUCUCGGCUUAGGAGUGCCUACACUGCCAACACUGGCCACUGAUGGAGUUGAAGGUAUUGGAUUAGUGCGUUGAGAACCUCGCUCUCUAUCCGAAUACCCAAUGGCUGAGGUAGAACGAUCCUAGUAUUUUUUCAAUUUCUUUGGAGCAGAAAACUGGGAUUUUCCCAUCGGUCUUUUACUAAAAAUUCGAGCUUCCCUCUCAGCCUGUUUCUUUUCUUUGCUCAAUUCUUCUACUUUAUAAGCCCUCUCUUCCAAUGUAGCAAACUCUCAAAUUUCAAGAAUUCCAAUGUCUUCAUUCAACCCUUCUUCGAAUCGUUUGCACAUUUCAGCUUCUAACUGUAACCAUUCUCGAGCAUAUUUACUCAAUCGAACAAAUUCUUUUUCAUACUCAGAUAUUGAUCUGUUACACUAUUUCAGCUCAAGAAAUUCUUUUCUCUUCUUAUCGAGAAACCUCUGACUAAUAUAUUUCUUUCUGAACUCGGUCUGAAAGAAUUCUCAUGUAAUUUCUUCUUUCGGAACAACUGAAACUUUAGUAUCCCACCAAUGGUAAGCUGUGUCUUUUAGCAGUGAGACGGCACAUUUCAGACAUUCUUCUGGUGUACAAGAUAAUUCCUCCAAAACCCGAGUAGUGUUUUCUAACCAGAAUUCAGCCCGUUUGGAAUCAUCAUCAAUUGCUGCUCGAAAUUCUUCGGCCCCAUAUUUUUAAAUUUUAUCUACUGGAGCUUUCCCUUUUCUGACAGAUUCAAUACCUGUACCCUGUGGGAUAUCGGGAACCGGUGGAGGAGCAGGAGGGGGAGCUUGAACUUGCUGCACUACAGGGUUAGUUCUUAAGUAUUGACUAAACCAUUCAUUCAUCAUUUGAAAGAAGACUAUUUUUGCCUCCUCCCCUCGACCCUAUAUCUCGGGCCUUCUCCUGCUAGUUUCUUCUCUUUGUACUGAAGCCGGAGCAUGACUCCCAGCUUCCUCAGAUUGAGCUCGGUCGGUAGACAUUUACUAUAAGAAAAACACAUUUAAAUGGUCAGGAGAUAUCACACUAUCAAUAAUAAUUUAAAUGGCAUGUAUAACUAAUCCCGUAUUUACUAUGUCGGUCCGAGAACCGGCUAAACCGUAGCUCUGAUACCAACAAAUGUAAUACCCCCUACCCGUAUUCAUUGCCGAAAUAGGGUACGAGGUAUUACCGGAGUUUACGAUUUUUUUUAUAUUCAAUAUAACCCUUUUAUAAAUAUCUAACCUUCCCUGUAAUAUUAAAUCGAGACCAAUCCACAUCAACCAAACCAAUUCAACAUAUUUUCAAGAUAAAUUCAUGCAUAUUUAUAAGAUAACGUCAUCACAUACCCAAAACCAAGUUUGUUAACCAUACUAAUGGCUAACUUUACAUUCAUUUCAUGUUAACAUUUACUUUAUUAGCUUAUACAUGCCAUUGAUUUCCAAAAUAAAGUUUCUUUAUAUACCGAAAUCCUGAGGUUGAUAGUAUGAUGUGUCUCCGACCAAAUCCAACCUCCGAGCUCUUAACACUACAAAACAGGGGAAAAUGAAACAUGGUAAGCACUUUGUGCUUAGUAAACUCAUGUAACAAGAAUUAUACUUACCUAAUAUUUUCAAUACAAUACAACAAACAUUCCUAUAUCCAUUCAAUGCAUUAUUACCCUAACAUGCACAAACUCAACAUUCAAGUUAGUACAAUAAUUUCCAUGUACCAAUAAUAUAUACUAUGAUUGAUGAGCUCAUCAAUACAUGAUUUCCAUUUCCUUAUAUUUUUUUUCAUAUUUAUCCCAUUGAAUUUCUUGGAAUUUUCGAUGGAUUUUCAGAGGUACACUUUUAGUGUACAUUUCCAGGUCCGUCAAUUCAUAUUCAUGUGCGCACAUUUCCAUUUCAGAGAGCACACUCCCGCGAACCUCAUCCUUACAGCGGGAUUACCAGUCCAGGCUAAAUCCCAUGUAAUAUAAACUCAUAGAGUAUUGUCGGGAUUACCAGUCCAGGCUAAAUCCCCUGCAACGACAAUUACUCUAAUGAGCUUGGAUCUGAAUUACCAGUCCAGGCUAAAUUCAGACCCUAAUUCAGAUUACCUGUCCAGGCUAAAUCCAUUUUCCACAUAUUCUUCGGGAGGGCUAUAUCAGGAUAAGAUCACCCGUCCGGGCUAGAUCCUUUUUACCGUCAAUUCCUUUUUAGAGAUCCAUCGAAAUUUCCUUUCAUUCAACCGGGAUUUCUUCCCCCUUUUUAUCAAAUAUAUUAAUGUUUCAUCAAUUUUCAUACAAUGAACAUUCAAAUCAUAUUCACAUCAAUAACAUACAUUUCAAGCAUUUAAGAAUAUAAUUCAAGUUACAUGAACUUACCUUGAUACUUGUUCGUGUACAAAAAUCUACUAAUCCUGAACUUUUUCCUUUUCUCGAUCUAGCUUCGUAUUUGAUUCUUCUGGAUCUAAAUAAAUAAAUUUAAUUAUCAAUUUACUACAUUUCAUGUUCAUAUGCAACAAUUUCUAUAAUUUCAUUAUUAUUAUUUAUAGUUUAUUCAAAGCUGUCUAUUUGAGUCAUAGUCAUUAAAUUAUUUAUAACUCAAGAUACGAAACUCCAAAUUAAGAUCCGUUAAUUUUCCAUGAAACUAGAAUCAUAUAUGUUCUUACCAUAAAAUUUUCAGAAUUUUUGGUUAAGCCAAUAAGUACAGUUUAUCCGUUAAAAUCACCCUUGUUCUGCUGUCUGAUAGUUCUGACCCUUCUUCAUUAAAAAUUAAUUAUCUCUUCAUACAGAAUUCAGAUGAUGUUUCCGUUUGUUUUUCUUGAAAAUAGAAUCAUUCAAGAUUCUAUGCAUAUAAAUUUAAGCCCCUAAUUAUUUUUAUUCAAUUUUUAUGACUUUUCAAAGUCAGAACAGGGGAACUCGAAUUCAUUCUGACCUUGUCUCAUAAAAUUCAUUAUAUCUCAUGAUUUACAGAUCCAUUGCUUACGCCGUUUCUUCUAUGAGAAACUAGACUCAAUAAGCUUUAAUUUCAUAUUUUGUUCAUCUUCUAAUUCGAUUUCUACAGUUUAUGUUGAUUUUUCAAAGUUAGUCUACUGCUGCUGUCUAAUAUUAUUUUAGUGCAAGCUGUUUAUUACCAUUUUUCCCCUAAGCUUUUAAUAAAUAACAAUUUCGUCCCUACUCAAUUAGCCUCUCAAUUGAGCUGAUUUUUCUCAAUUAACACUUUAUUCUAUCUCCUUAAACUAGUUUACAACCUUUAGGAAUCAAAAUUUCAGCAAUAAACUUUAAUUCCAAACAUUUUCACAAUUAGGUCCUAAAAAUCAAUUUCUAUUGAAAUUACCUAAUAAAAUCAUCUCAUAAACAAAUUAAAGCUUUAAUUUCAUUCUAAUUCAUCAUAAACUUACAGAACUCAACCAUGGUGACUUUCAAUUUCAUCCAUGAAAUCAAAAACUAAUGAAUUUAAUAGUAGGACCUAGUUGUAAAAGUCUUAGAAACACAAAAAUUACAAGAAAAAAGCAAGGAUUAACUCACUUGGUGCAAAAAUUAUGGAAUACCAGCUUAUAGAACCCUCCUAUGGCGUUUUUAGCUGCUGGAAUUGAAGAGAAAUGAAGAGAAAUCUAGAUAUUUCCUAUUUAGUCCUAGUUUUAUUUAGUUAAUUUUGCAAUAUUCCAAUUUUUCCCUUAAUUUAUCAAUUUUCCUGUUGAUUUCAUGCCCUUGCCGUCCAGCCCAAAUAAAUUUUGGGUCUAAUUUCCUUUUAAAUCCUCUCUCAUUAGACACUUAAGCUAUUUAAUCAUCCCAUCCACUAUUACACAUUUUACAAUUUAGUUCUUUUCAUUUAAUUAACUAUCCAAACAUUAAAAUUUCCUAACGAAAUUUUAAUACCACAUUACUAACAUUUCAUAAAUAUUUAUAAAAUUAUUUUUGACUCGGUUUUAUGAGAUAGAGGUCCCGAUACCUUAUUUUACCCAAUUUUUUCAAUAAUUUCUUUUUCUAACUAACCACUAAAUCGGUAAAAUUUUUCUAUCAAUAUUUUCAUACGAUUUUCCUAUCAUAUCAAUUUUCAUGCAAAAAUAUUGAAAUAAAUUUCUCUUCAAAUCGAAUUUGUGGUUACGAAAGCACUAUUCCGAUAACCUUGAAUUUAGGCUUUUACAAAGUUCUGAGAGUAAGCUCUUUCUAAAAACUUUAUUUUUGUGUUUAAAUAUGUGUUAUAUGAACAGUGAUAUGCAAGCUCUUUAUUGUGAGCUCAAAAUGAACUAGUGCUCUAUGAGCUCCUCAAAAUUGGAGAGCUCUAUGUUGUAAGAAAUUAUUUUGACAAUAAACUUUUUAAUUGUUGGAUAUAAUAGCAUGCCAUAGGAUUGUGAGUACUCACCUUUAUGUUUUGUGGUUUGGGCGAGAGACCUUAGGACAGAUUAGAGAGAUAAUGGAGUGUCAAGCUAAGCUCCACUCAAUGUGACAUGUUGGUGUGUUGAAGAGUGCUUAGCUUUAUGCUACAUUUAUGGGACAUGUUAAGACUCAUUGAGUCAUUCUGAGGCAUUAUAAGGAGAUUCACUUAUCCAACAGUAAAGAACAUAUGAAUAAGUCUAUAUUUUUCGAAAUAUCAUGUUUUACAAUUUAAAGUUGUCUGACAGUAAGUAUUGGCGAACUAGGUUUCGCGUAAGUAUGGCGAACCUAGUUCGCAAGUUCUAUGACCUUACCGAGUUUCUAUUUAACUUAUGUUUUGUGCGUGCUUUAUGGUUAUUCUUUUGUAUUCACUGGGUUCACAAGAACUCACACACUAUUUUCUAUUCACUGAAGAUAGCUAGAUCGCAAGGUGAGCAACAACGAGGCGAGUGAUCCAGGCGAAGUAUACUUGCUAUAAAGGUAGUACAAGCGAACUCUAGAUUAAAGGGAAUAUGGGAAUUCUGCUUGGGCUUAAAGAUAUAAUUCUAUUGACUUUUUCGAUUAUUUUAGGACUUAGUUAUUUUCAUGAUUUCUUAUGUUUUUCCUUAUGUUUUUAAUUGCAAACUAAUAAUGUUUUAUAAACACAUUUGAAUUUUAAAUAUAUAAAUAUGGUCCAAAUUCGAUUGAUGUUUUCUUAAUUUUACAAGUUCACUCUUAAGUAAGUAAUUUAUAAUAUAGUGUUCACCAUAAGCAAUGACAUGAAGUAUUCAAAACUGAAAAAACUUUGCAGAGUUCGCCAAAAUUGCUACAAAGUAAUAAGGUUGCGAACUGUACUAACUGCGAACCUUAAUGAUUGGUGAAUUGCUAUCCACGAACCUUUAGUAGAUUUUGAUAUGUGCUAAAAGAGAAACCCUGCGAACUGUGUUCACGGUAUCCAAACAAAAAGGGGUAGUUUGCCAGACUUACCCUGUUUAAAGAAACUUACCCAUGAAAGUCUUAGAUUGUGUGAGCUAUGCAAAGGAGUGAACCCCUAUGUUAGAUAGAUGAACAUCAAUAUUCUGUGAGGUACAUUGCUUUGCAAAACUUAAGGUUCACAUGAUCUUUAUUUCUUUCUUUCAUCAAAUAUUUAUGACUUCAUGAAAAAAGUAAGUUAAGUUAUUGAGAGCGAAGUAAAGUUCGCAUGUUAUUUCCACUGCAUAAUAUGGAGCAAGCAAAGUGAGUUCGCGAACUUAUGCUUUCUUAAAAUCUAUACAUAUUUUAUGAUCUAACUUGUGGUGAGCUGGAGGUUAGGUUGGGUGUUAAUGAAGAGUCACUUAAAUGGAUAAUAUGGCAUUCCAUAACUCAGGUUUGAUGACUGAACCAUGUAUGGGGUGUUACAAUUUAUGCAUGCAUGGACUUUUGAAACUUAAUAACUGAUAAUUACACGUUAUCUAGCUUAAGAAAAACCGACAUAGUUCAUCGAUUUCUACUACAUUACAAGGAUUUGGAUUUUGAAUAACAAAAUAUCAACUCAGUUGGUUUUCUUAAACUUCGCAAAUGAUGUUCGAAGGAAAACAAUACCCAAAGUUUUCUAAAAUAUCACUAUCGACAAUAAAAUGAAUCUUAUGUAUAGUCCGUUUGAUAAACAGAUGUUUUAAUCUAACUUAAAACAACAACAAUAAUGGUUUUUCCUAAAAUUAGUUGGAUUAGGGUUUUUAAAAGACUAGCGGGUUACUUGGCCAUUUCAGUGGUUAAUGUAGCCUUCUCGGUCAUAACGUCUAGGUUGAGUUAGGGAGGUUAUAGCAGUGGAGCGAGUGAUCCAGCGUAACAUGCCAACUGUAGAGUUUUAACACCCCUAUACCCGAUUCGACCCAAGGAACCUGAUAUAAAAAUAUUACAUUUGGAGCCAAAGUAAUUUUGGCUAAUCACUAAUAUAUUUGAACAUUAAAAAAAAAUAAAGUUUUCAUAACUUAUAUUUUAGUCCUUAUGACUUGAAGCACACUUGAUCUUCCUAAGUACAUGCCAUUCUAUUCAAAAUUUUGAAACAUACCCUCUUGGCACUUGGAGAUGUGAUGAGAUGAAUGCUCACAACCUUAAUUACAACUCUUCAAAAUCACUGUACCUACGCGUUGAAAAUAAACGCGUUAAGUCGGUGAAAACUUAGUAAGUAUCCAUGAUAUUAAAAUUCUAUUAAAUUUCUUAAUUCUCAAUAUCUCAUUUCUUUGUUUAUUUAUCAUAUUCUUUUGUAAAUUUUUACUUAUUUCACAAUUUAGUCCUUUAGGUCCUCAAAUUAACCCAUAAAAAUUACUACUCUUUUUAAUACAUGUAUCAUGUUUCACUGUUUAGUAUAAAUUUUCAUAAUUCCAUCAGUAAUUCUUUCUUAUACUUCCUCAAAUACAUUCAAUUUACUUAUGUGUUCACUUUACUGAUUCAAGAUUUCGAACAUUAAUCGUAGAUAAACCUUUACCAUGUAACGAAAAUUAUUUACCUUUUUAGCAGAGGCCCAGUAGACUAAAUAGAACACCUAGGAUAUACAAAACUGAUACAGAGGUGCAUUAUUAUGCACUAUUAAGUAGAGAGCACUAAAGUGCUAUACAGAGGGCACAAAUGUGCUAAACGGAGAGCACUAAUGUGCUAAUAAUCGGAGAGCAUGCUAGGGUCCUUUAAUGGCAUGCCACUAAUAUCCUAGUAGUUCUAAUCUCGUCUACUUGGGCAAAUUAUAUCAUGCACACAUAUCACUUUUACACUUUUCGCAUAAUGCUUUUACAUACUUUAUAAUUUACUCAUUGUACCAAUAAUCCGUAUACUUAUAUCUUCACUAUCUUUAAUACAUGUAAUAUAUUUCUAAAUUCAUUAUUCAUCCAUAAUUCGCUAAUAAUCCUUAUCAUGUAUUUCACAUAUCACUUUUAUUAUUUUGUAAUUUAGUCAUUAAUACAAUAUUCCAUGUAGCAAUAUAUUUUACUUUUAAUAAAACAUAUAAUUUAAUUCAAUACUUAUUAAUAACCCAACUAUUAUACUUUUAUUAUAAUUUCCUACUUCACAUAGUAAAUUAUUUCACACUAUUUCUAUUUUUAUUUACUUAAUUACCACUUAGUUUACAAAGAUCACAUUUUAAUCCUUAAAUAAUAAGGAAGUUCAUGAGUACUUACCUCUUUUCUAUCAAAAUCUCUUGCUCCUCUUACCACUUGAUUCACUUACUUAACUUCUCUCUUCAUCAACAUGUCAAAAACACAAUAUUUUCCUCAUGAAAAAUCUUUACUUUAACACCGUUUUUAUGUUUUUCUAUCACUACUAAACUUAAAAAAAACAUAAAACCUUAACAUCCAUACCUUAUUCUCUUGAAACCAAACUUUAAUUUGACUUUCUUUCUUCUCUAACUUCUAUUCUCUUGAAUCUAAUUUGAUAUUCUAGCCCCCCAUAGUCUCCUUAUUAUUUUUCUCUCUCGGUGGAUAUAGAAAUUCUUUUGAUUUCAAAGUGAAAAUGAUGGAUUUUUGGUAAAAUGACUAAAUUGUAAAGAAAAGAAAAUUUCUUCCUUUCUUUUAUUCUUCUCACAUUGGAACCAUGGAAAGAUGAAGAAUUCUCUUCAUCUUUCUUCAUUAUAUACCAAGUAAAACUUAAUAAAAUGUCAAAUCAAAAUAUUAAUAAAUUAAUAUUUAUUUAUUUAAUUAAUCUAAAAUAUCACCAACAUCAUCAUUACUCUUCAAAAUAUCUUUCUUGCUAAAUGACCAUUUUUUCCCUUGUGAUCCUUCAAAAUUCCUCCAUUGAAUUAUCACUCAUUUUAAUAAAAUUACAAUUUAACCCUUCAUACUUUUUUACUUGUUCAAUUUAGUCCUAAUUCAUCCAUUUUCCUUAGAUUCUAGAUCCUUUUACCUUUAAAAUAUUUGAACUAUUUUUCUUUCAACUUUUUCAUAUUUAUAUUUAACCCUUCAAAUUUUGAGUAUUUACUCUUGGGUCAUUAAACUUUUCUUACUUUUGUAAUUUAGUCUUUUCUUGAAUUAAUACAUCAUAAUAUAUUUCCUAAAUAGAUUUUUUGACAUAACUCAAACAUUCCCUUUUUGUCACUUUAUUUCCUCAUUUUAUUGUAUCAAAUAUAAUAUCUUACUUUUUUACUGUAGCAACUUUAAGGUUAUUACAAGAGUGGUGGUAGACUUUGUUAGAAAAUUGUUUGAAAAAUAUGUUAAAGUUGACGCUACAAAAAAUAUUUUUUUUCUUUCUAAAAUUGACAUUUGUCGUGGUAAGUAAAGCAAUAAAUUUGAUUGACUAAGUACAUGUAUAUCGAGAACUUUGUGAGCAAGGUUUUCAGAAUCAAAUUAAUUAUCAAAUCGAUCAGUCUACCGGUUCAUUGGUUUGUCCAGUUCAAUUAAACAAACCAUUAAAAAAAAUCUGAUUCAAUCAUUUGAUUCAACCAUUUUUAUGCUCGGUUCAAGUGGUUUGUAUCGAUUCCCGAAUCAAUGGAUCUAAUGACUUUCUCUAAAUCAAUUUUUGGUCCUAUCGAUCUAGUCCGAUUCAAACAACAUUGUCUGUGAGUAGUCUAAGUCAGAAUUACGUUUUCGUUAAACAUUGAUUACAUCUAAGGUAAUAGUUAUUAUAAAAUUUUAUAUUGCUAUAAAAUAAGUUUUGAUUGUUAAAAAAAAUACUUUUGUAAUAUUUUGUAACAAAUAUAAUGAAUGUUAUAUUUACUUACCUAAAAACAAAAUUCAAAAAUAUCAUUAAAAAAAACAAAAUUCGAAAAAUUUAUCAAACAAACUAAAAACAUUUUAUAUAAAACUAUUUAAGCAAUAAAAAAAGAUAAUUAUUCACAUUAAUUAUUUUUUUCACUACACGACUUAAACUUUACAGAUUUCAUAAAAGAUAUUAUUUUAAAUCAACCCAUUUUUCAAAAAUUAUUUUUGAAAAUGGUUUUUAGUGAAACAAACAAAUUAUAAAACUAGCUCGUGGUCCUGACCAUACCUCUUGCUUCACGGCCCAAAUUAUGCUGGGCUCAUGGCUGGGAAUGCCGUCCCUUUUCCCUCUCCGAAAACUUUUAAAAUCUCCAUUUUCCCGGUUAACAAACAUUAUUUUCCGUGAAAAAAAAAAUUCAUCUAAAAGACUAAAGGACUAUAGGAAAAGGAAAAAGAUGGAACCAGUGGUGGCAACGGUGAGUGGAUACCACGGCUUGGAGCGGUUCAACCUAAUCAAGCUCAUAUCUAUUGCCGGUGCCAGUUAUAUCGGCUGUUUGACUCAAUCAACCACUCAUUUGGUUUGUUUCCUUUUCUCUUAGUACUUUAAAAAAAAAUUAAAGGGAAAAUGGGGAAAACUAAAUUUAUUUGGAAUUUAGGUAUGUUGGAGAUUUGAAGGAAGGAAAUAUGAGCUUGCUAAGAAGUUAAAGACGAUAAUCGUAAAUCAUCGAUGGAUUGAAGAUUGUAUAAAGGAAGGAAAGCGUUUGCCUGAGGGUCCUUAUGUGUUGCGAAGGUAUUAAUUUACUCUUUUAGUUUUUAACUGUUGGGAAUUUUUUUUAUUGAUGGAUUUGAAAAAAUGGAUCUUUUAUUUUUUUUUUAAUAUGAAAUUAUGGUUUUUUGCUUGGGUUGUUAUGUUAAAUGGGAUUGAUGAAAUUCAAUUUUUUUUUCUAAUUUUGGUAGAAGAGGCUGACAAUGAUACCUCAAAAAUUUUAAGAAUAAUAUUAAACAUAAAAUGGUUAAGUGUUAGGAGAAGGAGCUUUUUAAUUCAUUGGUUAUGGAUGAACUCAAUUUUGGGAGGAUGGAAAGGUGUGAAUCUACCGUUUGUUUUUUUAUUUUUUCCUAUUUCCUCUCCAGACAGAGUACUGAAUACUAGACUACUAUUUAUGGUUCUUGUCAUUGAUAGAAAUGUGUGUUUAUAUAUUUAUUUGAUGCAUAAUUUCUCUAGAAUUUGAUGAGAACUGUAUUUUAAAAGUGUAUUUUUCAAGUUAGCACCUCAGAUCAGUUCAUCUGUGAGCAGUUUGCUAAUAGAAUCCUUCAAACUUUCUUUGUAGUGGAGAAGAAAUGGGACCUUUGUUGCUGGAGAUUCCUGAUGUUGCUAAGGGAGAUGCCUUGACUAAGAAGUGCAAAGUGUUUUCUGACAAAUCUAAUGUUCAUGAUGGGGUUGGAAAUGAAACAACUAAUGUUGACCGUGGAGCUUCUGGCUUAUCUGGUUGGUCCAAAUCUGCAUUGUUGGAUGAGGUGAUUACAUAAACUUCUCUGCCUCAUUACUUUCUUUCCUUGCCUCGCCUUUUUUCCUGAUUCUUUCUUUCUGUUUAGCACACACCACAGAAGAAUUCAUUGUCAGGGUAUAAAAUUAGUUAGUGCUUCUUUCAGUUAGACAAUUUCAUAGGAGCUGUGCUUGAUAAUUAGUGCUGUAAAGUAUGUCAGAUGAGUUGAUGGCCCUGCAUAAGUGAAUUAUGGAUUUGUUGAACAUGCACUUCCAGGAUUGAUUUGGUUUUGGGCUUUUCUGUUCUUCUUGCCAGAACUGUAAAUAUUUGUACGAGAGACUAAAGAAAAUUUUCUACUUGAAACCUUUGUUUGGUUUUUGCACAUGAACUAUGAAUGUGUGCAUGCAUGUGAGAAUUGAUGGAAUCAAAAGGGGGAAUAUUUUGUUAGUUGAGCUCUGAAUUAUUGACUUGCAAUUAUCAUUAUUGACUUAAGAUAUAAGUGAUAUUAAGAAGCCUGACAUAUUUCUUCUAAGGAUCUUUACUUGAAACCUUUGUUUAGAUGGUUUUUGCACAUGAAUUUUGAGUGUGUGCAUUCAUGUGAGAAUUGAUGGAAUCAAAAGGGGGAAUAUUUUGUUAGUUGAGCUCUGAAUUAGCAAUUAUCCUUAUUGACUUAAGAUAUAAGUGAUAUUAAGAGGCCUGACAUAUUUCUAAGGGUCUUUACUGUCUAGCUUUUAUCAUCUAUUUAUGUUUUUUUUUGUUUUGAAUCUCUGCUUUAUAACAUUGGUAAAAGCAUUUUUUUUAGCAUUUUAUUACUAAUUUUCAAUUUUACAUGUUUUUGUGAUUCAUUUUAAUUUCUGCAGAAUCUUUUUCAAGAGCAUGGGAGAAACAGUUCCCAUAAACUGAAAUCUAAAGCAUUUAGAAAGUCUCCGACGGAGGAAAAUUUGUUUAGUGGUAGCAACUGCUUUCAGGAGACUAGUUCAACUGGAUUUUCUCGGGAGGAGGUAACGAGUGCUAUUGUCUUGUUUUUUCUUCAUUCAAAUUCUUCAAGAUAUUUUCUUAACUUGUUACAGGAUAUUAUAUAGUUUUAGUUGUUAUUCUAAAUUUCUUGACAGCCUUAAUUGGAAAUGGAAGUAUUCAUGGUUUACUAUUUUAACCUUGUUCAUUUAUAGCAUUUUAUCUUUCACUCAUUAGUCUUUGACUUAUACAAGUUCCAUACGGAAUAGGGUAAAAAGGUCACCUGUUUACUAACUUCAACAUUCUUUUGAAAAAAAAUCUACUAUCUGAGUUGGUUACUUUAAUCUGCAAUAUGAGUUUAGAUAUCUUUUUUAAAGGUAACCAGUAAUAUUCUUGAGGUUUGUGCUGAAGUUAAAAACUAAAUCUUCAAAUUUUAUGUCAUUGUAUGGAUUUUUAAGGAAUAAUUGCCCAGGUCAUAUUUUCUUGACUUUGCUUUUUUGCUUUAUCCGGUUGAAAAGCAUGAAGAGUUGUUUUCUUAUGCUUCGGUGCCUCCAAUGAGGAACAAAAGGAAGAUCUCAAAGAACAAAGAACCAAGUGCUCAUUGUUCCGCUCAGCUGAUGAGGGAAGAAAGAGAUAUUCCUAAUGGUAGCAGAGGCACUUCUUUGGCCGAAUCUUCUAAGAGAAAAGGACGGAGGCUUGUGAAAAAUGUCAAUAGAGAAUCAGUAGUGUUUGACAUUUCAGACUCUGACCAAGAGUGCCAUCCACCCCUCAGAGUACAUAAGCCAUACGUUGGAGUUACAAGUCCAUCUGGGCAUUCGCUUGAUAGGAUUGUUAGUUUAUCUCAAAUUGGAGGACCAUCUUAUCGUGACUUCAGUGAGCAUAUCAGAUUAGAUGAAGAAAUUGAAGAAGUUGAGGAGAUCAAAUUGAGGAAUAAGGGACCUCCUUCCAAUGAUUUAACUUCACCAGGGAAGGGUGCACAACCUGUCUCUGGAAGAACUUCACCAGAUAGGUGCUCUGAUGCUGAGAGAGAGAACCAAGAUGUUACUUCCAGAUUAUCCACAUCAAUGAAUUUAUCUUGUGUUAUAUGUUGGACUGAGUUUAGUCCAACAAGAGGGGUUUUGCCUUGUGGACAUCGAUUUUGUUAUUCAUGUAUCCAAGAAUGGGCUGACAAAAUGGUAAACAUUCUUCUUCUUCUUUUUAAUUCAUAUGUAUUUUUGCUGGGACUCCCUUAAUUAUUAUUAGUAUCCUACAUGAAUGCUAGGUUAGUGUUUUAUGAUUAUACUUCAAGUUAUAUCGUUUUUUCCCCUAAUGUCCUAUCUUGAACUUGAUCCAAUUUGAAAGUGUUCUUAUAUUAAUUGUGGUGCAUGUAGACUUCAAGGAGAAAGGCUCCAUGUUGUCCCUUGUGCAAGGCAAUUUUCAUGAGCAUCACAAAAGUGGAGGAUGCAGCCAUCUCAGAUCAAAAGAUUUUCUCCCAAACCAUUCCUUGUGCCACAUCAACAUUGGAUGUUUCUGUUAUUUCUGAUCAAGAAAGAACUGGUUUUGGUGCUCAGGUAGUGGAUACUCUAAUACUAAAAGUUAUAUUGCUUGUAUCUUUGUGGCAUUAAGCCAUGCUUUAUGCUGUUUCUGCAUAGCAUUUUAAAAUCAGAAAUAGGACACUUAGGUGGCUCUGGUGGUUGAUGAAAAUUGAAAGGGAAAAAUGCAAUUACAUGGUAUAGAGGUUUGGAAAGGCUAAAUGGAACAAACACGAUCACAAGCAUAAACUGGUGUACAUAAUUAGGUAUUACUAAGUGUAUGCCUAUCAUCUAGAGUUGAUGGCAUUUCAUUUUGUGUGAUUUACGGCACAACACGGUUAAAGAGAUGCUAGACAAAUGUAAAAUUGGUUUUGACCCUAUCCAAACAAGGCUUCUCCAUUGAGAAGAUAUUUUAUUUUCUGAAAACUCUUCUGUGCUGCACUGCCAAUGGAUGUGAAAAGUUUAUCGUUAUCUUGCAUAGUCAGCGACGCAAAACUAGUAUUUUCAGUAGAGCCACCACUGUUACAUUAUAUGUCAUCUAUGUUUCUCUGACUUUCAUUUUUCUUAAAGUAUCUGCGUCAAACAUCUGUCUUAACAUAUAUUUAGAUACGAGUAUGGGCAUAUUGUUCUCCGAGGACCCUUCUAAUACAUUAACACACAAAAUUGGACAUUUCUGUGUCAGACACAUACACUCACACCUCAGUCCAAGUAAAUUAGCAUUUCAUCCAUUUUUCUUAGUUGCUUGCACUUUGCUGACACUAAAAACUUUGCAUUCUUAUGGUACUUUGUAGUUCGAUUCUACUGAAUUGAUUUUGUACAUUUUUUGGCCAUUUAUUUUUGCAGUCCUCAGCAGCUUCUGUUUGCAUCAAGUGCCGUCUGCGAGAACCCGAGGAUCUUCUUAUCAGCUGUCAUUUUUGUCAGAUACGAAAUAUCCAUAGAUACUGUCUUGAUCCUCCUUUAUUACCCUGGACUUGUAUUCACUGCCAGGAUAUUGAGAGGCUCAACCCUUACAUCUUCUAAUAUACAUGAAACUCCAUGAUGGUAAUGCAUCCAGAACAUGUCAUCUUUGACAGUGUUGUCUCUAACAUUGAUGUCGUAUAUUCAGUACUCAAUUAUAUAUAUUAUAUUACUGGGGAUGGUUAAGCCUUCUUUUUUUGGAACAAGAGAUUCUUCAUUCUUGUCUACAUCUAUAGCUGUGCCCUUUCUCGAUUACAUGAUAAUGUUGGAUACAACAUGAUCAUAGGAUAUGAAUUUAACAUUGAGAAAAAAAAAUAAGUAACGUUUGACACAACAUGACAUGAUAUAAGAAUGUGUAAAAAUCUGUCAAAAAGUUAACAUUGAUACGAUACCAAUAAACAGAAUGUAAUAGUUAAAACUGUGCUGACUUCGUAAGAGUUUGGCAUUUCAGCGGGAACAAUUGGUUGCAUUGCCCCAUUACUGUCAAUCCAUCCCUGUAGUUAUCAACAAGUCUUGAUUCCAAGGUUUCAUCAUUAUCAUCAUCAAGCAGCAGAGUUGACGCUUGUGCUUUCAACUCUUGAAUAUCAAAAGUCCAGGCACUAAUUCCCUUUGGGUACUCUCUCAUUGAUCUUGCUUCAUAUUCUGCUGCAGAUGCCAUAUUCUUCGAAGAUAGUUGUUGUGCAGAUUCACUGUUCUGAAUCUGAAGGACUUUCACAGGAUUUAGCGGCGGCCGGAAAUCAGCUAAUAACUUCUUCAGAGAAAGCUCAGGAGGUUUGGCAUGCUUGAAAAAUGAGUGCUUCAACAAUUUCCCUGCAGUAUGCCUCUUCUUGGGAUCUUUCACCAGGCACAUGGCCACCAUGUCUUUAAAGGACUUGGAGAAUUUCUUAUCACCAAGUCUUGGAGGAGCAUUCUGUACCGUCAUGAGAAGCACCUUCAACGGCGGAUAUUCGGACAAUGGUGGAUGACCGUGGGCGAGUUCCAACGCUGUUAUCCCAAACGACCAUAUAUCAGCUUUAGAAUCAUACCCAGUUUCUGCUUGCAUAACUUCGGGUGCCAUCCAACAAGGCGUCCCCGUAAAAGUAUUUCUGCAGCGUUGCCUAUCUCCUGAAUCGAACAUGCAAGCCGAAACCCCAAAAUCAGAAAGUUUAACGGCGCCAUUGCUAUCGACCAAUAUGUUGCCGGCUUUGACAUCCCGAUGGAUAUGUCCUUGUCGGUGGAGAUAAUCCAAAGCCUUGAGGGUUUCUUUCAGGAUAAAACAAAUCUCGAUCUCUUCUAACCCAUUGGGAUGAGCUUUCUUCAUGGCGUGUAAGCAAGAACCCACCGACACAAACGGCAUCACCACCCACAAGUUACGAUCUACAACGAAUGACGAAUACGCUCUGACGAGAUUGGGGUGAUCAACGCAACUCAUCGUCUGAGUUUCAAGGCGUAUGUUUUCCAGGCUACCAUUGUUGCAGCGAUCCAGAUCCAAGCACUUGACGGCCACCACGGCGUUUAGAGGAAGGUAGAAGGCUCUAUAUACCGUAGCGCUGCCGCCAUUGCCUAUCUCAUCCAGAAGCACAUAAUCGAAACGGUUAGCAGAGUAAAUCCUUUGAACAUCAGCCAUAGUGUUGGUGAAUCCGGUUGAAAAACCCAGAUUGAUGAACAAAUUUGCUUUGAAAAUUCCCUAAGUUAAUUAUCUGAUUGGAUAGCAAGUUCUUUUUUCCAAAUAACUUGAAGGAUGUUCUAUAAAUACUAAUAUAUCUCAAACUCUUAUUCAGUAUCAUAGGAGGGGGUAGUUUAGAUAUUUGACCAAGUCAAUGGGAAUUUGACCUGCAAAAUAAUAAUAAUUAUAAUAAUAAUAAAAGCCUUUUAAUAGAUACCAAUUAUUUGGGCUUUUUGAAUUAUAAGCAUUUACGUUUUUAAAUAUAAUUUAAAUAAACCAUUUUUAAUCUAAAAUAAUCUUAUUCAAUUGUUUAAUAUAAUUAAAAGAAGUUGAAAGCAAAAUUAAAGUUGGAACGAAAUUAAUAAUGUUUCAAUGGGUGUAAUUCAAUUUUUAUUAAAAUUUCAUCUAUUUAAUUUUUUUAUAUAAAUUUAAUCUAAUAAUAAAAAUAUUAAAAUAUUGUUAAGCAUGAACCAAAGAUAUGGUUUUAGUUGAAGCAAGAUACUUCCCCACUUUUUUAUUAUGGCCAACUAUAGUCAUAUUACUAAACAUAAAUAGUCAUACCAGUAUAUUAUUAAAGUAAUUAAUAAUAUACUAAUAUAAUUUGUAUUAAAAAAUUAUAAUCAUUAAUUAUCUUUCUAUUGAAUAUGAGGGGAAUUUAGAAGAAAUUGAUAAUAAUUUAAUAUAUAAUUAUCUUUUUAUUGAAUGGUGCCCAAACAUUUUCCUUUCUCUAUUUCUACUUUAAAUAUAUUAAUUUGAGAAUGCUAAACUAGAAAUCAAGUCUUGGGUCGAUUACAUUUUUUUUUAAAUGGGUUAGUAAUUUUCUUUACAUUUAUUUUAUUUUAUACGAAAUAAAUUUAAACUAUAUUAAAUAUUAUUAAUUUAUACCAAAUAUUUUUAAAUUAUUAUGAAUUAUUCUUUUUUUUAAUAAUUUCAUUCUCUCAACAAAUAUUCAAGCAAUGAGACCUUGUCAUUAUUAGUUAAGACAAAGAUUGUAAGUACUUAAGUAUUCAUGUUUGAGUUACAUUAUACAGAAUUGAGAUAUCUGGAUCUCUAAUCCCAUCACAUGUAAUGUUGAGAUCAUUUGUUAUGUUUAGUGCUGCUUUAAUUCUAUUGACAUGUAUAUAUAUAUAUAUAUACUCUAUUUAGAAUAAUUUUUUUGGUGAAUAAUAAUAUGAAAAAUAUAUAUAUAUAUAUAUUAGGCUAAAAUGAACAAAAGUAUCAGAAGCCUUAUCUCGUUUAAGAGUGUCAAAGAACUCCCCAGGCACAUCUUCAAUUAUCUGCAUACCUUUCUUUCAGAGGCGAAGUCAGAAAUUUUUUUUAGGAGGGGCCAAAAUAAAAUUUUAAUUUUUAAUAGUCUAUAUGUUAUAAUUUUUAAAGGAUUAAAUUAAAUUUUCAUAAUUUUAGGGGGCCAAAGUGUAAUUUUAUCUUUACUAAUUUAAAAUUUUAAAAUUUUUCUAAAUGAUCAAAACAACAUUUUUCCAUUUUGGGGGGGAGCCUUUGCCAGCCCCCUUGAAUUCGCCUCUACCUCUUUCCCAUCAGAAGACAAUGUGACAAUAAGAUUAGUGACUUGAUUGCUUUCCCUAGGCACAUGCCUUAUCACUUAAUGGUCCUUACUCUAUAAUAACUGCUUAAUUCGUUGAAGUAAAGCCAAAUUCGAAGACACGAAGUCACCUUCUUGGAUAGUUUUGACAACCUUCAAGCAAUCUGCUUGCACCAAAGCCUUAUCAUAUAUAGCCCAAUUAUUAUUUAUAAAUUAAAUAUGAUUUUAGAAUAUUUUUGAAUUAGUAAUAUAUGAUUUAGAAGAAUUUAUUAGGUAAAAUGAUUUCGGAAACGAGGAAUCGAGACCUCAAUUUCAUAAACCGAGCCGUAAAUAUUUUUAUAAAUAUUUACGGUGUAUCAUUGAGUUAGUAUUAAAGUUUCGUUAGAAAAUUUUAACGUUUUAAUAAUUAAUUAAUUAAAAAGGACUGAAUUGAAAAAGAUGUAAAACUUGCUAAAAUGAUUAAAUAGUUUAAGUGUUUAGUAAAGGAUGACUAAAAGGGCAAAUUAGCCCAAAGUGGGAGGCUAGACGGCAUAAGCAAAGAAAAAUUAAAGGAAUGGUGUGAACAAGGGGUAAAAUUGGAAAUGAAAUAAAAUUAAAUAGUUAAAAAUGAGACUAAAUUGAACCUGUAGACAUUUCUUCAUAUUUCUUCAGCCAAAAACACCAUAGAAGGUCCUUAGAAGCUGGUUUUUCAUAUUUUUUUUUUCAUCAUGUGAGUUCAAAUCUUGCUCUUUUUUUUGAAAUUUUUGUGUUUUUAAGAUUUUUACAACUUGGUCCAAUUGUCUAUUUCAUUAGUUUUGAUUUCAUGGGUAAUUUUGAAUGUUUCCAUUGAUGAGUUCUGGAUGUUUAUGAUGAUUUAACAUAGAAUUUAAGCUUUAAUUUUGUCAUAUGAUGAUUUUAUUAAGUAAUUUCAAUAGAAAUUGAUUUUAGGACUAAAUUGUGAAAAGAUUAAAUCCUAGGGUUUGGUAUUAAAUUUAUUUAUCAAAGGCUGUGUAAUAGCUUAGAAUAUUUAGAUAAAGUAUUAAUUGAGAAAAAAUAGCUUAUUUGAUAGGCUAAUUGAUGAGGGACUAAAUUGCAAAAAAUUGUAAAAGUUAGAGUAUUUGUGCAAUUUAAAAAAUUGAAGAGUAUAAAUUGUGAAGUGAACUAGAAUUGAAAUAUGUGUUAAUGAAUGAAUAAUUUUACAUUUUAGAUCAAGAGUCUGUAGAUUAACGAGAAAAAGGGAAACUAGCAGAAUAGUCCCUAACUACUACAAAUUCUACAAAUCUACCUCAGGUAAGUUUAUAUGGUUAAACUUUUUAUGUUUAUUUAUUAUAUUAGUGAAUGUUCUUAUGUAUUUAUUCAUGUCUAAUGUUGAAAAUAAAAUUAUUGUUGAAUUAUGAAAUUGAAAUAAAUGUUCAAAACGAGUGGAAUGCUGAUUGAGUAUAUUCGUUUUGUGGCAAAGGACGAAUUGACGGAUAAAAUCAUGGUUAGACCAUGGCAAGUUUAUAUGUAACACCAUAUCUGGGCUAUGGCAUUAAUGUAAAGGAUGAAUUGACGGAAAAGACCAUAAUUGGGUUAUGGUACUACGAACGUAAGACCAUGGCGGUGAUUAAAUACAAGACCAUAGCUGAGCUAUGGCAUUAUGAUGAUAAGACCAUAACUGGGUUAUGGUACUAUGAAUGUAAGACCAUGGACAGGCCAUGGCAAUGCAUGUGUAAGACCAUAAUUGGACUAUGGCACAAAGAAUACGAUGUACUCACAUCCGUAAUCAUUCCUUGAUUCUGUAAGAAAUUGGCAAAAGACUUAUAUGAAUGAAUUGAAAGAUAUAUUGAUUAAUAAUGUUAUUGAUCUGAUGGAAAUGUGUUCAUUAAUUUAUGUUGUGUUUGACAAGGAGAAUGUAUGAUUUAUUUACAAUUUAGUUUAUUAUAUUAAGUUCGGUAAGAUCAAAGUUUAACCUAAUGAACUUACUAAGCUUCAUUAAGCUUACUUGUGUUAUUUAAUGUCUUUGUAGAUUAACGUGAAAUCGGAGGAUCGGAUCAACACAUCAGGUCACACUAUCUAGAUUGCUCCAGUAAAUUUUUGCUAUACAUUCUAUGGUUUAUAUGGCAUGUAUAAGGCUGCUGUAGAAAAGAACUAAAUUUGAAGUAUGGUUAUGAAUGGCAUAUGUAUACAUAUUUGUAUGCAUGUAACUAGUAGUAAAUUUUGGUAAAUUAAUGAAUUGAACUAUAUAGUAAGCUUAGGUAAUUAGUUUUGUAAUGUUAUGGGAUGUAUAAAAUAUGAAUUUGGCUUGUUUUGUUUGCUUGAUUGAGGCUAUUUGAUUUAUUGAAAUGUUAUAUAUAGGUUGAUAUCAUAAAGGGUGAGAAAAGUGGCUUUAAAAUGACUUAUUUUCGUCCACAUGAGCGUGUGUCUUAGCUGUGUGUGUCACACGGCCUGGCACAUAGGCGUAUGGUCGGCCGUGUGUCCCCUGCACCUUAAAAUUUCAAAAUAGAAUGCCUAGGUUUUUACACACGGCCUAGCACACGGGCGUGUGGCUUAGCAAUGUGACCUCUGCACUUUGCACAUAGCCUAGCACUCGGGCGUGUGGUUGGUCGUGUGACCCAAGUCAGUAGCUACCCUAAUUUGAACACGGGCUAGGACGCGACCAUGUGCCUCACAUCGAAUGCCCAUAUGAUCUAAGACAUGGGCGUGUGUCCCUUGUUCCUAAGAAAAAUUUUAAUAUUUUGGGAAAAAUUUCCUGAGUGUCUAGUUUAGUCCCGAUUCACUUAUAAAGUGUAUUUUGGGCCUUGAGGGCCCAUCAAAGGAACAAUAUGAGUAUUAUAUGAUUGAUUCUUGAUCUGUAUAAUAAAGGUAAUGAAAUAUUCGUAAUUAGUCCGUAAAGUCUAGUAAUGCUCCGUAACAUUAUUCUGGCAACAGAUAAAAGUUAGGGGUGUCACAUAUCAUGUCCCUUUUUUUUUUGUAACAGGAGUAAACUAUCCCAUAUACCCCAUAAGUCAAUAUAAAAAAUGAAUAAUUAUCGAAAGCAUGGUUACAAUUAACAACCCAAUAUAUAGAUUUGAUUUUAAUAGGUAUUUUAAUUGUAAAAGUUAGAUAAAUAUUAUUUUAAGGAAGUGAGAUAAAUCUUUUAUUUUAUUUUAGGUUUAUAUAUGUUUUAAUUUCAAAACACGUUAUUUAAUUUUUCAUUAAUUUUGAUAGUUUAAUUUUCUUUUUCUUAUGUUAAACUUAAACAUCAAAUAUUAAAUUAAGAUACAAAUUAGUUAAUAUUUUAUCACCGACAGUGAGUUGAUUACAUUUACAAAAGUAAUUUUAAAAAUUAUUCUUCUUUUUUUUAAUAAAAAAUUCUCUAGGCUAUGUUAAAAUUCAUCUCUAAUAUUCUUUUGCUUCACAUCUUUUAAAGUCAUAAAUUUCAAAGAAAAAAAAUUCACAAAAUUAAUUAAAAAUUAUAUAAUAUAUCAAACUAAAAUUUAUUAUUAUUCGAGUUCGGCUCGUUAGAUCAGAAAUUGAAUUUAAAAAAAAUUAGUUAUUAUAAUAUUCAUUACCAUUAUUUUUGGUAUGUAAUAAUGAAUGCAUAAUAAUUAUAUUAUUAAAAAUAAUUUUAAUGCUAAGAUUAUAAUUUCAAUAGUUAAAUAUUGAAUUUUUUUACCGUAAAAUAAAUAAUUAAUUGAGAAAAAAAAUCAUUUUUCAAUUAGGGAAGGGGUAAUUUAAGAAUUGAAUUCAAAAUUAUAUGAAUAAAAAAAAAAUAGGUAUAAGUCCUUUAUCAUUCUAUUUAUGAUUAUAUUAUAUUUUAAUUUGAUCCAGUAAUAUAUUUAAAAAAAAUCCUUAACUAUUAUAUUUUAUUUAAACAAGCCUUUAGAUUAUUAUUUUUAAUUAAAUAAGCUUUAAACUAUGAUUUUAUGUGUAAAAUUCUUGAUUUUAUUAUUAAAGUAAAAUUAUUUUGAAUUUCAAGCUCAUAUAUCAAUUUCUUGAUGAUGUAAUGGAAAUCAUAUACACUUUAACAUCAACAUAAAAUUUUAAAAAGAGUAAUCAAAAUUUUCAAAGUACUUUCAAGAAAUUUUAAAAUAUUAUUUGUCUUAAUUUUCUAUUUAAUAAAUAAUUCUCAUCAAAUUCACAUCCGCAUAAAAUGAAAAUUAAUUUUAAAAUUCAAAAUAUUUUUACUUUAAUAUUAAAGUGAAGAACUUUCAUGAGUGAAAAAUGAUAGGUUAAGAACUUAUUUAACCAUAAAAAUAAUAAUUUUAAAAAGGGAAUUUUUAAUAUAUUACCCUAUAUUUUUAUAAAAGUUAUACCCAUUUUGGAAGGAUAUAUUACAUUUAUUAUAUAUUUUCUUAAGAGAAUCAAUCUAAAUCUUUUUCUGCUUUUUUUUUUCAUAAUCUAAAUCUUUAUUUUGAAAUUGUAUUAUGAUUAAUUUGUAGAAUCUUUUUAUUAUAUAAAUGAGUUGAGGGUAUAAAAUCUGUUAUAAUUAAAAUUAAUAAUAUAUAUUUAUAAAUUAUGUAUUAAAUAAUUAUCAUUCAUAAAAUAUUAAAUUAUGUCACACUUACAAUAUGAGUAAAAAUUAUAUUUAAAAAUAAUUUAAUUAUUAAUUAAGUCAUAAAUGAAGUAAUAAUUAAAAUAUGAAAUAAUUUUUUUAGAUAAACUCAUUUUAUUUCAAAUAAAUAAAUCAAAACAUGAUUAGUAUUGUUUAUUCAUCUCUUUUGUUUGAGUUUUAAAAAUUAAAAUUAUUAGAACAAAACUAUAUAAUAACAAAAUUUUUAUAUUAAACAUUUAUUUUAUAAUUAUUAUUUAAUAAAUUUUAAUUUAUUUACUUAUUAUAAAAUUUUUGAUUAGAAAAAAAACUAAUAUACCCUAUCUUUUAAAUAAUAACUAAUAUUGUUGUUCUAUAAAAAAAUAUUUUUUUUAUUUUCAUACUUUUAUAUAAUCUUUAAAUAAAAAAAUAAAAAAUCACACUUCCAAAGAUCAAACACAUGUCUAAUAAUAUUUAUUUACAAAUUCUUUAUCACUUCGCUUAUGGUCAUUGAUGAAUAAAUUUUAGAAGAAAAUAUUUUUUGAGUCAAUAUUUGGUACAUGAGAAGUAUACUUAUUUUAUUCCACAAACAUCUUUAAAAAAUUACCACGUGUAUAUUUUUUUCUUAAAACAUUUAUUUUUUUUAUGUAUUUUAUUAGUCUUAUAAACACUCGCUGACCCUCUUUUAGAGUCUACAAAUUCCGCUGACAAUAUACCAAAAAUUUUCAUAUUUUUUUGACAUAAAAUAUUUUCUUUCUAAUUAAACAUAAUAUAUUAGAGGACAAAGCCGCUAUGCGGGCUAUAUUACUGCUAAUUUACAACUUUAUUUGAUAUAUUUAAAUUAAAUAAGGGUGAGAUUACCUUACGAGUGAAAAAAUAUAUUUAUAAAGAUAACGAAAAUAAAAUAUUGAUUAAAAUGAUAAAAUUGAAAUUUUAAAAAGAUUGUUAUAUUGAGUUUAAAUCUGAUUAUUUCAUAAAUUUUAUAUUAAAAUAUAAAAAUACGAAAAUAUCUCUAAAUUAAUAUUUAUUAUUUUAUAAAAAAGAGAUAUUUUAAUAAUUUAUCAACUAGACUGAUGUUGAAUUAAGUGAAUUGUAGGUUUUAAAUAUAAUAUUAGAUAGAUAUAAUUCCAAGUCAUUUUAGAUUUUUAGAAAAGAUAUAGAUAAAAUAAAAUAUUACAUUUAUUGUUAAAAUAUUUUAAUUUUCAUAUUAAGUUUUUAAUUAGAAAUAAUUAUUUAAUAUAGCUCUCAUUCAACAAUAUUGUUUAUUGUCUUUAUAUUAAAAUAAACUAUUUCAUAGCUAAAUUCAUAUUAAAGUUGAAUUAAACCAUUUUUUUAUCGUCAUAAGACAAUAAAUGGUUGCAAGUAAAAGGAGAAUUGAUAUCCCAUAUUAUCAAGAAUACAAAUUGAGAAAUGUGGCUUUUUUAUAAAAAAAAAUUCAAAACUUUUGAUUAUUUAUAAAAAUAACUCUAAAAAUUAUGUACAUAAAUAACCCUUUUUGAACAGUAAAUAUCGUUAACGUAAUUGCUAUUGGCACCACCACCUCUAGUUUGAAAAAUAUAUAAUUUUUUUAGGUAUCGACGUUGCCUUUGGCAACACCAAUCAAGGUCUAUCCCCUUUUAAAAAUUUAAAUUUAAAUAACCCUUAAAAAUAUAAAAAAUAACAAAAAUAAACUAUUUUUAAAUUUUAUUAUUAUUUCUAAAAACAAUAAACUUAAAAAACUAUAUAAAUUUCUUAUUUAAAUUACCUAAAUAUCUCUCUCAAAAAUUUUCCUCAAGUUUUAAGUAAGAAUUUUUUACUUGAGUAAAACUCUUAGGGAUAUGUUUGGGUAAUUUAAAUAAGAAUUUUAUAUAUUUUUUAAGUUUAUUAUUUUUUUAAAUAAAAUUUGAAAGGGUUUAUUUUUGUUAUUUUUAUAUUUUUAAGGGCUAUUUAAAUUUAAGUUCAAAAGAGGAUAGACCUAACAUACAAAUAGAUCAAAAGUUUAAAAUUAUUUAAUUGGUGCCGCAGGAAGAAUGACCCAUCCUUUUUUUCAUCCAAUCUAAAAGAGUAAUUACUACAUCAAGUCCCUGAACUUUUUACAUAAAUAUAUUUCAAUCCGAUGCUGCUAAUGGCAACGACAACAUAAAAAAAUGUAUUUUUUUUUAAAAAAAUGGUGUCACCGAGUUUACUAUUCAACAUAAUUUUCAAAGUGAGUCAUUUUUGUACAUAAGAAAAAAAAUUCAGGUCAUUUUUAUAAAAAAAUGCAGAGAAACGUAGACAAAGACCUUUAUCUCGCACAAGACAUUGCCCCAAAAGGCUAUGAUGGGAGAAAGCAAGCCAUCAUUGUUUCCUCAUCGAUAAAAGAAAAUCCUGACACAAAACUUGGAUAUCCUUAGCCAUAAAUAUGAACAAAACCUUGAUGCAGUGAGAUUGUUGCCACCAUAGUAGUGAAAACCUGUUUGAAUUAAAGAGUAGAAUUUUUUUGAUUUGUUUGUUCAAAAUAUAAGUUAUUUUGAAUGUUGCUAGAAACAUGAAUCAUUCUAAAAUAUAUAAUUUGAAUGAUUCAAAAGAUAAGUUGUUUCCAUCCGAAACAAAAACACAGAAAAAAGAAGGGAUUUUCAGAAAUUAGGAUCAUUUGACUUGAAUUACCUUGCUAAUCUGCGAUCAGACGCAUUAUCUUAGUAAUCAAGAAGAUUUUUGUUUUCAGCAAUUUCGGUUCGUUUUCAACUGUUCUUAAUAUGAUGUUACAGUCCAAUGGAUGUAACACAUUUCAAGAUGUGAAAUUUCCUAGCAACACUGCAAAACAAUCAUAACUUUCGUAACUAUAAAUAAGAACAGGGCCUUCCAUAAUGAAAAAGAGAAACUCUAGGAAUUCCAGAGCCAGUGCAUGCAUAUCUCUUCAGCUUCUUCAUUCUAAUCUCCCUAAGCAAUAACUUUACCCUGUGGUAGCAAUGAAGUGAUGGGACUGUAGAUUUUCAAGCAAAAAAUCUGUAGCUGCUUAUCCUCAAUGAGCGGAGAUAAGAAUCUUUUAACUCCAUGUUCAUGUUCUUCACAUGGAAAUGUCACUAUGCUCAACUUCACUGAUGCUGCUCUAAUUAGCCAAAUGUUUGCAUAUGGAUGAUCUCAUCAUGGUUCUGCAAAAUUUCAAGCAAUGGCACCAUUGUCUUUUUGGAUCUUUCUUUCAAUCAUCUUUCUGGCACCAUUCCCGACAGCCUCGGUUUCAUGUCUGAUUUCCAUGUUUUAGAUUUGUCACACAACAGAUUAACUGGAGCUAUUCCCGAUACCUUUUGAGGGUUUGCAAGUUUGCUUGCUUAACCUCUCUUAUCAUUCUCUUCAAGGCAGGCUUCCAGGAUCAUCGGGGCUAGUCUCAUUUCUUACUCAAAUAAUAACCUCACUGGUCCUAUUCCUUCAUCUGGACAACUUACUACAUUUCCAGCAUCCAGGUAUGAAAACAACCUAGGGCUACGUGGGAUACCAUUGCCCCAUGAUUUCUGAUAUAGGCAGGAAAAACCAUUCCAUGCUGAGAAAUGUGGAUUGGGUAUUGGUUAUUGCUGUGGUGGGAUACAUUAUUGGUAUAACAAUUGGAGUUUAUGUUGGAAAUGUCUUGUUUCAAGACAAAGAGGAAUGGUUGGUGAAGACAAAGGUCACGAUCAUCUCAAAAUUCAAAAGAACCAUUAAAUGCUGAAGAAUAAUAGAUCAAACAUCCAUGAAAAUUGGGAGGGGCUGGAAUAUAAACAACGGUUUUUAAUGGAAUUUCUUAAUUAGUUAGCUAGGCAGUUAAACCAUUUCUUUCUUUUCUAUUUUCCUACUAAAGAGGCCCUAGCCUGGAGUUAGGGAAAGGGGUUUGAAGUUUUAAGUCUGCUGAAUGCUACCUCUAAACUGAAGUAAGCUCAGGGUUCAAAUCCUCUUUGAUAUUACUACAUAUCAGUGCAUGUAUACUUUGCGUUCUUAUUCCUCUUGGAAGGUUGUCCAGCGUUUUGACUGUGAAUGUCAUCUUCAUUAAGAACCUAAGCAAUCAUAAAUACCUUCCUUCCACAAUCCUCCCUGCUGGUUGUCGCAGUGCAAUGGGUAUAUAUGUAUUAAUUGAAUUAAUAAAGCAAAAGUUCUGCAGAUGGAUAAUUUAACUCCAUGUGUAAAAUUUUGAUCUGAUGUAAAGACAACUUUGAGAAUAGUAUUGCAGAUGGUUAAAACACUAAGUUCAUACAUACCCCAAUUAUCAUCAUGUAUUUGAAAUCUAGACAACUACUCUAUGAAAAACUUCUUCAUAUAUUUGAAAUCUAGAACAAAUACAAAUAUUUUAUGAAAGUUAAUGCGUUCAAGUACCACAGGCAAAGAUAUUAAAGUUCUAACAAAUUUCCAUAGAUACAAUCCAACGUUUUGAAUUGCAAAUAAUUAUAAUAAAGAAACAGUGGAACAACUCCACUACUCUCAUCACCCCAAAUCCAUUGGAGAACCCCCACAAGCAUAAGUUUACUCAAUGAGAAAAGCUAUCCUUCUACUGGUCACUUGAAUAAAAGAAGUUUCCAGUUGCUUUACUAUUGUUAUUUCCUACGCCGGAACUUCCUUUUUUGAUUUCCAGAUAACAUAUAUUGAAUUGAAUCAUAUGUAUUCAUCAGCAAAGCAAAUCUGAUUUAGGAUCCAUCCGGUGGGCAAUGAGAUUGAUUAUUAUAAUUGUGAGAUUAAAAUCAAUGAUGAGAUUGCAAAAGCAGCAGAGGUAAUGAGGUGUGCUUGUCUACUGAUGAGACAACCUACGCCACCACCAAUAUUUUAUCCACACAUUUCAAUAGAAACAGCCAAAAUGAUAGUGAAGAAGUUAAAGCAGAAUUCGCGCUAAGUACCUGUAGGAACAUUUUAGAAGCCUGGUCAUGUGGUUCGACUAAGCUUUAUAACCUCCUCCAGCAAUUUGUUGGCUGAAUCCCGUACUUCGUCUGGAACUGUGAGCUUUGGAGGCACUUGGUCUAAAUUAUACACAAUGAUAACCUUCAUUACAUGCACCAGAAGCAAAUUCCUGGCAGCAAUUCCCCACACAUCCUUAUUAGCAUGCCGGCAUGAAUCUUUUAACAUGCAUUGACUGCAUACCUGAAGAGAUCCCAGACAAAAGAAACAAAGAAACAAACAACAUUAGAAUAUUUAUAGUUAACAACUUAACAUAUAACAGAGGUUUUAACUGUUCGAAUUAUUGAAAUAUUGGCUUACAGUGUCUUCUUGAAUUUUAAAGAUUUUGCGCAACCACUUAGCAGCAAAGACAUUAUUUUUAUCAAGAGAAGGGCAACCAAAAAGCGCCACUGUUUUCAAGUUUUUGCUUGACAACCACCUGAACAUACGAAAAUUUUAAUGUUUUGUUGUUUAAUAAUAAGCAAAAAAGAAAGUUAUUCAGUGUAGGAUCCCCCUAAAGAUGUGAAAAUAAAGUGUUUUUUCUCUUUGUUUGCUAAAUGAUAUGCAAAAAUCAUGAAUGUCAAGCUUUGCAAUACUUGAAUCAAAUGGCAAAAUCUCUAAAACAAUUUUACAGAACAACAUGAAAGAGAAGAGGGAAAAACAUGUUCUUACUGUGCAAUCUCUUGAUGAUCUUUACCAAACUUGUAAGCAGCAGACUUUAUAAAAUCUCUGCCAUAUUUACUAUCAAAGUAACUAAAAUCCAACUUGUUGUCUACCAAAAAAUUAGCGUUGUUAAAAUAGCCUUUUGAAUACAAAUGGCUAGCGAAAGCCUUAACAAACGGCGAAAGGUCCUUCAGAACUGUCGCCUCCCCCGAUUCUCUCCUGCGUUUUUCCACCAUCUUUUCACCACCAAACAACUCAACCAAGUUGAUAACUUUCUUCUUGGGUUUUUUCUCUUUCUCUUCCUUUUGCACUUUUGACUUUGGGUUUUCUUUCAACGCCCUAACUUCUCUCUCCAAUUCCCUUAAUUCGCUCAUUAUCCCAUUCUUUUCUUCUUGGUAUUCGCUUUCGUUUCCGCCAGCCUUUUCAGUUAAACCAACCGCUUCUUCAAAUAGCAGAGAAAGUGGCUUCUUGAUUGGUUCCUGGGGAGAGGAACUAAGGGUUCUUCUGAUUAUGAAGGACGGUGAAUGAAGGAAGGUUUUGUGAAGAGGGUUCUGGGUUUUGAAGACAACUUUGGCUUGGUUAGAAAGUAAUAAAGUUUUAAAGAGAGACAUUUGGAAAUGGAAAAGGAGGGGUUUUGGAAGGGUUUUAAGGUUCGACGUAGAAAUGGGGUUUUUGCAUACGAUGCCAUGGAAAGAGGUUUUUUACAGAGGACAUAGGAAAUGCUCAAAUCAAAAUGGGGGAAACUUGGGUUUCAUUAGGGAACCAAAGCUGGACCAUUAAGCCCAAGCCUUAAACCGACCCGUUGACUGAAAAAGCCGAAGCUGGGUUUUAUAAGCUCAAUAUUUAUUUGCUUUCGUUAUUAGUUUUGUUUGAGAAAUUUGGAAAGGCCCAUUGCCUGAAAGAAACCAGUGCUUAUUUUGCCUUACUCCGCAAUUUCAGUCUUUAAAAAUUUGCUUUACUUGUCUCCAUUGUUAUUACGUGAUUCAAUGUGGAAACUGUAGUUCAAAGAUGCACAAAGAAUGGGAUAUUAGAUCGUUGAUCAGAAGUGAUCCAUGAUCCUUGCUUUGGUUCAUUUGCAUUUGCAUCCGCCCUGAGUUGGUCCUUUAGAAUUAUAUAUUUUGUAAUGUAGUGGUGCUUGCGAAUAGAAUCCAAGAUCAAGAGCACUAACACAAAUAAGAAUAGGUAUUAUGUACAGUUUUCAACUGGUUACUUGGCACCAUUGGUGAAUUACUAGUCCAUGAAACAUUUGGGUGAGUUGUUGGACUCUGAUGAACGUAAAAUGAGGUUUUUACAAUCCUUUCGGAUUGAAUGAAAGAAACCAUGCAUUGUUUCUUUUACCAGGUUGGUUUUCAGGUCUGUGUUUGCCAGUGGAUUCCAUCAUGAAGAGCCCUGAAUUCAGAACAUCUGAAUUUCAACAGGAAAAACAAAAUGAAAGUUCUGAAUUUGCAAGCACCUGUUGGCUUUGGAUUCCAUGUGAUAGUGGGUGUAGAUUCAAGUGGGAACAAAGAAAGUAGAAAAAGCUGAGGGGAUUUCCACAAUAUCUUAAUCUAAUAAGCCCAACCCAAAGUGUGGAUGAGAGGAAGGGACAUACUGUGCUUUAAAACUCUAUCCGGAUUUUUUUUUUCUUAAACUAUAUGUAUUUGAUAUUUAUGAAUAGAAAUUUGAUCUUUUACAUGUAUAAAAGCAUUUAUAUUGAACAUACAUACAUAACUCACAUCCAUUUUGGAAUCCCAUCAACAUUUACUUCUCAUGUCAACUUUGAAUGAAAUUUUUGGCUAAGCUUUGUGCAGAAGACCCCAACUUUCUCGACAACACUAAUUUACUCCUAUUAUCACACUAUGUUAUUUCUGCUUUUUCGUUGGCUGCAUUGUGUUUUUUCCUAUUAUCAAGUUUCAUAAAGUAAUUGUGUCCUUCGGUUUGAGAUGAAUAUUGUUGAUGAUUGUGUGUAUCACAAAUUUAAUGAGAUUAAAUAAAUAUUCUUAAUUCUAUAUGUCGAUGACAUUUUGCUUACCACUAAUGAUAUAGACUUAUUGCACGAAAUCAAGAUGUUUUUAUCUAAGCAUUUUGAGAUGAAAGAUGUUGGGGACACCUAUUUUAUUUUAGGAAUUUAGAUGCAUCGAGAUCAAUUUUGGGAUAAUCUCAGAUUGCCACAAAAGAGCUAUAUCGAUAAAGUACUCAAAAGGUUUGGCAUGCAAGCAGGAGCGAAGCCAGAAAUAUUUUGUAGGAGAAUCGAAAUUAAAUUGUAAUUUUUAUGAUAGUAAAAAUAUAAUUUCACUAUUUUAGUACCCUAUACCUUUAUAAUUUAAAAAAAAAUAAAUCAAAUUUUUAUCAUUUUAAGGGGGUAAAGUGCAAUUUUACCUUUAUUAAUUUAAAAUUUUAAAAAUUUUAAAGGGAAUAAAUGAAAAAUUUUCUAUUUUAGGGAGGUUGGAGACCCUGCCCUUACCAACCCUCCUAGUUACGCCCAUACAUGUAAGGUUGUAGACCAAGUGACACCCCUAUUUCUAAAGGAAACAAAUUAAUCUUACUCAAUACCCUAAAAGUAACCUUAAAAUUCAGGAAUUGUAAAAGAUUCCUUAUGCAUUAGUUGUUGGGAGUCUAAUGUAUGUCCAAGUAUGUACGUGUCCGGAUAUUGCGCACAUUGUUGGGAUGUUAGGCAGAUAUUUAAGCAACCUUGGUAUGGACCAUUGGAUAGCAACCAAGAGGAUUACAAGGUAUAUUCAAAUAAUAAAAGAUUACAUGCUCACUUAUAAGAGGUUAGAUCAUUUGGAGGUUAUAGGGCAUUCCGAUUCUGAUUUCAUUGAGUGCCAAGAUAGUAAGAAAUCUACAUCAGGCUAUAUUUACUUGUUAACUGGAGGACUUAUAUCCUAAAAAGGAGUCAAACAAACACUUGUAUCUUCUUUCACUAUGGCAGCAGAGUUUGAAGCAUACUAUGAGGCAACAAAUAAUGGAAUACGGCUGUGGAACUGUCACUGGGCUGCGCAUUUUGGAGAAUGUAGAAAGAUAACUCAAAUUAUUUUGUGACAAUAAGUCAGCGAUGCUGUAUUCCAAUAACAACGGGAGCUCAUCUAAGUCAAAGCAUAUUGAUAUAAAAUUCCUAGUUGUGAAAGAGAGAGUGCAAAAUGAUUAAAUAUUCAUAGAACACAUUGGGACAAACUCCAUGAUAGCGCAUCUGCUCAUGAAAGGUUUACCACCCAAAGUCUUUUAUGAGUACACUGCUCAUAUGGGUGUUAUAUUAUUUAAGGAUAUCAUGAUUUAGUGGGAGUUUGUAUUUCAUUUACUUUAUGUUUAUAUUAUUUAAGGAUAUCAUGAUUUAGUGGGAGUUUGUAUUUCAUUUACUUUAUGUUUGUUUUCAGACAUUUAUUUAUUUGGUUAUUUUCUUAUCAGAAAUGAAGUAUUUAUUUUAUUUGAUACUGACUUCACUUACAUUUAAGGAGAACUAGUUGGAAAUAAGCAUGCUUGGUUUACAUUGCUUGUAAUUUCCAUGCUACGCAUUCAUAAUUGAUCUAUGUCAUUUGACUAUAUUUGUAUAUAUACCCAUUGAUGAGUUUAGUCAUGAUUAAUAUGACAAAGAUUGCUUUGAUCUUAUAUGAAAAUAGUUGAUGGACGAGAUUGUUAUAGAAUACAUGUUAUAUGAUAGCAAAUUUUGCGCUCAUAAGGUUAUACAUUUAUCAAGAAACAUAUGUUGCCCAAGUGGGAGAUUAUUGGAUUAAAAUUCUCAAUUAUGGACACAAAUGUAUAAUGUAUAAUGCUAUUAUAAAGUGUAGUACAAAAUUAAGUAACCAAUUAUGUUAUAAGUGUCAUAGGUAUUAAAGUGUCAUGAAAAUAAUGUGUAAGUACCAUAAUUUGUAUUUAUAAUUUAAUGAGAGGCUAAAUUAUAAAUACCCAAAAUUAAUUUAAUAAUCAAUUAUUUUAAAAAGAGGUAGUGGUCCACAAGAAAUAGAUAUAUAUCUCAUAUUUUUUUCUAUCCUUAUAAGAGAAUUAUAUAAAAUGAAAAAUUAUUUUCUUAGAAGAUCAAAACCUUACGAGUAAUCUUCAACAAUAAAUUCAUGUAUACUUUUAUAUAUAAUUUUGUUUUUAAUGAUAUGACAUAAUAGUUCGGUUCUAUCAUAUAUAUCUAAAUCCACCAUUACUACAGAAAUUGGAAAGUAAAUAAAUAAAGAGAAAAGAAGAAAAUAUGUGUAAAAGACUCGCCUAUUCAGGGGAUCGAGUUUCCCAUACAUUUUCCAUCUUCUACGACAACAAAUUAUGAUUGGGGGGGGGGGGGGGUACAAAUAAGGAAAGGUGAAUUUUAUUCUUAAUAGUUGGAAAAUGGUGAUGGUAGUAUUAAGCUUUUUAUUAAAAAAAAUACUAUUAAUUAUUAUUAAAUAUAAUUAUGUUUUGUUUGAUAAAAUUAUUUAUUAUUUGAGAUGAUUUUAGAGAAUAAAAGAAAGAAGUAAUUGUGAAUAUAAUAUUUUAUUCAGUAUGAAUUAAAAAUCAAAAUAAUAGUUAUUUUAUUGAGACACCCUAAUAAACUGUAGAUUUGAGGGAGCAGUUACUCCACUAUUUUGUUAGUUUUUAAAUUAAAAAAUUGGUUAGGGCCAGAUUACUUUAUUACCAUGUGUUUUGUUGAAUGUCAACAAAUUUGAUAGCGCGAGCAGCGGCCAAUUUCCUUUUUUCUAUUUAGUACCAUAUUUCCAUUAUUUCGGCUAAAAUGUCCCAUUUUCCUAUCGUAAUGUCAUAAUUCUCCAUUAUUACAUUUACUUUAUUCAGCUUUUCUUUUCUAAUAACAUCUUAUAAAAUAUUAGAUAGAGAUUUGGAAUUUCGCCCAAUUUUGUUUUUAUUUAUGCAUUAUUCUUUUGAAUAUCAUAUAAUAUUUUUAAAGAAUAAAAAAUGAUUUUAUUUUAAAACUUUUCCAGAUAUUUAUAUUUAUUUAAUAUCACACUGAUUACAGACUUGUUUCUCAUGUUUUUUACAAAUAUUGGUAAUGCAGUGUGAUUAUGUGGCCGCUUGGAUUGUUGCAAUAUGAAAUAAAAUAUUUUUUUAAAAAAAAAUCAUACCAAAUUGAACGAUGUUUUCUACAAAUACGUUAUUAGAUUAGUAACUCAUGUACAAUUAUAUCUAUGUCCACUAAAUAAUAAUAAAAAAUUAGUAAGAAUUUUCCUCUUGGACCCCCUAUAUUUCUAAAAUUCUACAUAGCUAGCAGUUUAGUGUUCCUAGCUCCUAAACUUUUGCAACAAUAAUUCAACUAUCUUAGUUCAAUCCAGUCCAUCAAUUUUAUAAUAUAGGAUUAAAGUGAUUUUGGUAAUAAAUAUUCCCAUCAAAUGGUCAUAAUAUUGAUAAAAUUAAUAACAUAAAUUGUGUAUGCUUAUUUCCAAUUGUAAAAUUACAAUAGAAACUCCAUACCUUUUUUCUUUUUGGAACUUAGAAAAUCCACGUCUUUAUUAUGAAGAGUAUUCAAUAAUCACAUAAAACCUUAGUCUAUAAAAAAAAAUGUAAACAUAACAAAAGUAUAAAUAAAACAACAAUCUACCACUAAAAUGGCUCAUCGCAUAGUUUUGCAGACCCAUAAUCAUUGAGCUUGCUAAUAUGAUUUAUUAGCACCUCAAAACUCUAAACUCAUUUCUUCACAACAAGAAAUUCAAUGUCAAUAUGUUUUGAUUUUAACCAGUUUCUUUUGUUCCUUCAACAUAACUAGACAAAUUUAUUAUUACAAUUAAUCCUCAAUGGUCCUUUUACAUCAACUAUUGCAAGUGAUAAAAUGAUUUGAUGCUUCAUAUACAUUCACCUUUUAUACCGGAGGAAGUUAUAUGUGCAUGUUUGACACUUACUCAAGAAAUAGCUCUUCCAACUAUCACGAAAACAUGAUUUAACAUGUAUCUUCUACUAUCAAGACAUCUACCAAAAUCCAAAAUAGAAUAUCCCAUGAUCUCUAAAUGAUCUUAUUUCUAAUAAGUGAGCAUGUAAUCUUUACUUCUUUAAAGAUACCUCAUAACCUAUUUUAUUACUCUCUAAUGAUCCAUUCAUUCCUACUAUCUACACUAUAUUCGAACAAGUACAAACUUUACAACAUAAGACUUUCCACUACUGAUGCAUAUGAGAUUUUUUUUUCCAUUUUUUUCUUCCCUUUGUCCAUCUUUCGGCAUUUUAGCAAACAAAAUUCAUCGCCUGCACUCACAAGUGGUCCCCCUACUGUAUAGUUUUGAAUGCAAUGACUACUAGUCUCCUUAUCAAUGUAAGUCUUUGUGAUAGUCCUAAUGUCACGGGACUAGAACUUAAGUCUGGCAAACCACGCGACCUUAAGCGACUUCUUUGCUUCAAAUUUGCCUAACUCUCAAAAAGUGAGAAUUCUUUUGAAAACUCUCUAAGGCACCGAAAAUAAAAAGGAGGCAACUUAAAAGAGAAAGGAACUCAAAUUGAACAUAAAAACAACAAUAAAAGAAUAGCACACCAAGUAUUUGAGUAAAUGCUCUCAAAAGUAUAUUUUAACUCAAAAAUGGAAUGAAUACAAAUGAAGAGGGAGGGUUGCAACGACCCUAUAGUCAGGGGUGCAAAAAGUACAUUCCCGGGACUCCGUUCUCAUAAAUCGGACUUGUAAAUAUUUUUGAAGUUAGUUGUGUAGUUAAUUAGAUUUUGGUUAAGUAAAAUUACAUGAAUUAAGAAUUAUUAUAGUAUAAGGACUAAAUUGCUAUAGAGUAGAAGUUGAAUUAUAUAUUAAAAUCAGUUGAGGGAUUAAAGUGGUAAAUAAUAUAAAGUGGACGACAUUAAUGGGGCAUUAUAUAUAUAAUAUUUUAAUAUAUAUAAGUUAUAUAUUAUUAUUAAUAAAACGAAAUUAAUAUGUAUAAAGGUUAUAAAAAUAAUAAAAGUUAUAAUAAUAAAAGAAAGAAUAAAGAAAUAAAAAUAGAAAGGCAUGCAAAAUUUUGAGAAAGAAAAGAAAGGGAGAAAGGAGAAAGAAAUGCAUGGCCAAGGGUUUUUAAGUUUUCAAACUUCAAUUGGUUAGUUAAUUUAGUCAUUUUUCUUGUAAUUUUUAUAUUUUUGGAUUCUCGGUGUUUAGUACUAAUCGACCCAUGUGAAAAUUUUAGUAUUGAUUAAGAUUUUAGAUGUUGUUGUUGUUGAAUAGUUUUAGGAUUAGAGAUUAAAUUGAUAGAUUUUUAAGUUAGAAAUAGAAAAGGACUAAGUUGUAGAACAAAUUAUAAAUUUUGAGUAAUAGGGACUAAAUUGUGAAAAAUUCAAAAUUUAAGGAUAUAAUUGAAAAUAGAGAGUUAAAUUUAGUUUAAAGUGUAAUGAGUAUGAAAAUAUAGAAUUUAAUGUGAAGAUUAAAAAUUAGUCUCGGUUUAAGGACUAAAGUGAAAUUUAAGCAAAUAUUGUGUAAAAAUUGAAAUAUUCAAUGUGAAAUUGAAUUGUGUUGUAUUGGUAGCUAACAUUGUACUAGAAUCCUCAAUUAAAAAGGGGAAGGAUAAAACGACGUCCAAUAGCUCAGAAUUCACAGUUUGUGUUUCCCUAAUCUGAACUAAGUUGUAAAAUAUUGCAUUUUGCAUUAUUUCAUAUGGUAAGCAUUGGAGGUGAGAGUUAUGGUGCUUUACAAUUGAACUGAAUUUAUAUUUGAUUGAAUUGGAUUAAUUUGGUAUAUGUUAUGAAUGUAUUGAAUAUUUGAAAAUUGAUAUGAAUAUAUGUUUGAAUAUGAUAUUGUACAAAUAUGAGAAUUUAAUAUUGGUUGUAUUUGUAAGUGAUAUGGAACCCUAUUAACUGUUUGGGGCUAAAUCGAAUAAAGAUGGCAUGCCAUAGGAUAGGAAGAGUUCAAAUAUUUCUUUGACUUCAAGUCGAUGAGACACAGGGUGCUAAUUUGCUUCGGUUUAACCGAUAAGACACUGGGUGUCAAUUUAUAUAGCGUUGGGCAUUAAUAUUACUUUUGAUUUAUCUGAUGAGGCACAUGUUGGUUGGAUCUAUAUAUCAGUCCCAGUCUGAGUCGUGUUAAUAGGGGUAAAUAAAUAAUAAUAAAGUUCUAUAAUUAAUAUUGAAGUGGUAUGAUAUGUGAAAUGGAAAUGAUAUGGUAGAUUGAAAAUGAAAUGUGAAAUAUGUUGUGAACAAAUGAAAUAUAUGAGUCAUGUACUCAUAAAUUGAAUAUGGAAUGGAUAAUGUAAUUGUUUAAAUGAAAUGUGAAUUGAUAUAUGGAAAGUUAUUUAUAUAGCAAGUGAUGUGAAUUGAGAUAUUUGUUAAACAAAUCAAAUAUGAUAGCAUGUGAAAAUUGAGUAUAUUAUGAAAUGUUAUGGUAAAAUGCAUGAAUUUGAAAUGAUGGUAUACGGUAAUUGUAAGUUUAGACAAUAGUAUGUUCAUAUAAUUCAAAUUAUGCAUUCUUGUAUUAUUAUGUCUUUAAUUGUUCAGAUUAUAGAAAUAUCAUUGAGUUUUACUCAACAUAUGGUUUUAUUUUUCAUGCGCAGGUUAGGUACUUCUCUUUUGAUUGCCGACUUAGCAUCCAACAACAAUCCCGACCUCAAAUGUGGUGACGUUUACCUUUUGUAAUGGCAUGUACCUAGGAUGUGUUUGGUUGUUAGUGAAUUUGGUUUAUGGUAUGUAAUUGAGUUUAAAUAUAAUGCUGGUUUGGUAUAUAUAUAACAUAUGUUUGUGUUUGAAACCUUAAUUUGGCAUGUUGUUUUGAACCAAGGCUUGUUGGGUGUAUGCGAAUUUAAGCUUGAUGUUUUUGUUGAUUAUAAGCUAGGCUAAAUUUAGUGAUUUUAGUAUGUUUUAAACUUUGAUUUGAAUGAUGCAUCGUUGAUAGGUUUUGAAGAUAUAAAUAUGGUACUAAUGAGGGUACAUUGGUUAGGCACCUAAGAUGAUUGUUUUGACAUCUUUAAAGUAUGUUUGAUCGUAUUUUGGAUAGGUUAAAUGAUCGGUUUUUAAAUUGAUUAAUGCCCAAACAAGUAGGGAAUGAAAAAUUUGUUGUUUAAGGUACAUUUUAGGUCCACACGGCCAGACACACGGGCGUACGACACGGCCGUAUGAGACGCACGGCUAGGCAACAUGGCCAUGUGUCGUCUGUUGAGUGCUUAGGGAACAAGUCAGCUAAAAUACAGCCUAGCACACGGGCGUGUGAGGCAAUUUCGACAGUUAAACGGCCUAGCACACGAGCAUGUGGCUUGGCCGUGUGACCCAAGUUAAAGACUUAUACGGGCACAGACACGGGCUGAGACAUGACCGUGUGUCCCUAUUUCAAAUGUUACACGGCCUGGGACACAAGUGUGUGUCUCAGUCGUGUGAGUCACAUGGCCUGGCCACUCGGCUGUGUGACUCUUGUAGUUGAAUUUUUCUAAAUUUUUCCUAAAAUUUUCAAAUGUUCUAUAUUUAGCCCCGAAUCAUUUCUAAAGUGAUUUUAAGACUUCGAAGGCUUGAAUAAAGGACAAUAUGCAUGUUUAAUGUUGGAUUAUGUUAUGUUUAUUGUAAUGUUUUGAAAUGAAUGAUUUAGGUUACGUUUAUUUGGUAAUGCUCCGUAACCCUAUUUCGACGACGGAUACGGGUUAUGGGUGUUACAAGGGUUCUAUUUAUAGUUGAGCUCUCCUAAAUCCAAUUGUACAGAUCAAAUUACAUCAAUGGCUGAAAUUAGUUCACAUCUACAAUAAGAGAGUCUUAAGGAAUUUAAUCUCUAUACAUCUUAAUCCUUUAGAAUUUUCAAUAAUCAUUAUGGUAAAAAUACAAUUUACUAGUUUGUUUACAUCUUAACCAAGAUUCAAGUAGAUAGGCCUCGAGUCUCUUCCAAGCAAUGGACCAGUCUUGUUGGACCAAAUAACCCAAUGGAACAAAAAGGGUCUAAAAUGUGCACAUCCAUUGCGGGGUCUUUUGUGCGGCCUGUGACAUUCUCCCUCAUUUGUUCUCUCGACGCCCUUGUUACGUCAUCAAAAUGGAAUUGCCAUAAAGUCUUAGUUGAUUUCCAACUAGCCUCAUUGUCGGGAAGUCAUUUCCAUCAAACAAGGUACUCAUGCCUUGACCUAUAAUACUUCCAUUAAAUCACUCAAUCUACCAAAAUACAUUCAACUUCACAAUUAUAGGAUACCUUUACCCCCAUUAGCACUUGUAUGAACUUGCCUCGAUUUGGAUCCUCCUGAUCCUCAUGGAAAGGAUUAAGCAUACUGACAUGGAAUAUCAAAUGGACCUUGAGUUUUACUGACAACUCCAGUUUGUAAGCUAGCUUGCCUACCCUUUUUAUAACUCUGAAAGGUCCCUCAUACCGUUGCACAAGGAUCUUGUGCAAGCAAGUGUGACACAAAACAAGUGCAAUUUAGCAAGGACUGAGCCACCAACUUGAAAUUGUACAUAUCUACGAUUUUAAUCAGCUCACUUCUUAUUGCGAUUACUUGCCUUGUGUAGGCAAGCCUUGGCUAAGUCAUUUUCCUCUUGCCAAUCUUUACCAAAUCAAUAAGCUGGUAGGUUCGGUCAUGUAUAACUGUUCACGACAGCAUUGGAUGUGAGUGGUUGUUGCCUCAUCAAAAUCUCGAAUGGACUAUGAUUCGUAGCCCCACUUCACUACAAGUUCUAAAAAAAUUGGGUCACAUCCAACAACUUAGGCCAGUCCUUUUGCGUGGCAUGCAUAUAGUGUCAAAGAUAUGUUUCCAACAAAACAUUUACUCUCUUGGUUUGCCCAUCAAUUUGCAUAUGCAUGCUAGUGGAAAAUUUCAAGUUUUACUUUUCGUUUAGCUCUCACGAGCUUUUGUUUAACUCAUAUGAGUUUUUGUUAAGCUCUAUUGAGCUUUUGAUUAACCCUUAUGGGUUUCCGUUUAGCUCUUACGAGCUUCCGUUCAACCCUUAUGGGUUUCUAUUUAGUCUCAUGAGCUUUUGUUCAGCCUUCGGGCUUCUGAAAACGAUGUACUCUUAUCCGUAAGCCGUUCUCCGAUUUAGGAAGAUUUGGUAAGUGACUAUGUAAUUGAAAUUAAAAGACAUAUUGUUUGUUAUUGGUAUUAACUUAAAAUAAGUGUAUUCAUCGAUUGAAGUUGUGAUUGGCAGGGAGUUUACAUUGCAUGAAUUUAUUUAAUUAAUGUGUUAUAGUAGGUUCGGAAAGAUUUAUUUUUAUGCCAUCGAACUUACUAAGCUUCAUUAAGCUUACUUGUGUGGUUUAAUCUCUUUGUAGAUUUUCGGGAGGUCGGAAGAUCGGA